This 60796-nucleotide long non-coding RNA is filed under the name Lactuca sativa (garden lettuce). RNAcentral describes it as "long non-coding RNA (LSAT_LNC008194)". The record is from RNAcentral. Lineage: Eukaryota; Viridiplantae; Streptophyta; Magnoliopsida; Asterales; Asteraceae.
GGUGGGAAAAUCUUAGAUGGUCCUCUUAUGGUCAAAGAUCGUGGAUUAGUAUAAGAAGCGGAAAAAGAAGACUAUGAUUUUUAAAGUUGAUUUUGAGAAGACAUACGAUUAUGUGAAUUGGAAUUUUCUAUUUCAGAUCUUGAUGUACUUAGGAUUCAGUUCUAUGUGGAUCAUAUGGAUACAGAGUUGUCUCUAUUCUGCUAAGGCGUUUGUUCUUGAUAAUAGAAGUCUGUUUUUAGAGUUUCGUUGGUAAAGGGAUCUUUGUAAAGGGGAUCAACUUUCUCUGUUCCUGUUUAUUUAAGUGAUGGAUUCUCUCCAUGUGGCGAUGAAUGAUCCGAUGAAGGUUGGUCUUUUUUCUAGAGACAAAAUUGGAUCUAUUAAUAUUUCCCAUUUGUUUUAUGUAGAUGGUGCUCUUUUCUUGGGGGAGUGGGGGUGGGAGAAUAUUAUAUCUAUAAUUCGGAUUGUUUAUACUGUGUGUUUUUGGAUUGCAACUAAAUCUUCAUAAGUCCAAUUUGUAUGGUGUGGGGGUUGAGUUUCAAAAGGUUCAGUCUUUUGCGAAUAUCACAUGGUGUCGGCCGAGAAAACUUCCAUUUUUGUAUCUUGGUCUUCCGAUGAGAUUUAUUAUGUCGAGAAUGUAAUGGGUGACGACCGAUUGUGGAGAAAUUUCAUAAGAAACUUUCCAAAUGGAAGGCAACUAUGUUGUUGGUUGGUGGUAGAUCAUUGUUGAUUACAUUGGUCUUGGGGUCUUUGGGAAUUUAUUAUAUGUCCCUUUUUAUGAUGCCAGUUCAAGUGAAAAAACGUUUUGAAGCUCUUUGGUCUAAUUUCUUUUGGGAAUAUGAUAACACUAAGAAAAAACUUCAUUGGGUGAAUUGGAAUCUAACUAUGGCGUCAAAGGAGAAAGGUGGUCUUAGACUCAGAAGUUUGGAGCCUCUUAAUCACACGUUAAUUCAAAAGUGGAGAUAGAGGUUUUUGAAUGAUUCUAAGUCCUUGUGGGUUAAGGUGAUCUCUGAUUUAUAUGGGUAGCAAGGAAGUGAUAUUUUCAGUAACUAGAUUGAUGUUGGUACGAGGGUCUGGUGUCGUAUUAUUGGGUCGAUAAAUAUGAUGCACGAUCAUGGAAUUAUCUCUCUUUCGUGCCUCUGUAAAAUUGUUAGUAAUGGGAGAAAUACUGAUUUUGGGAUGACGUGUGGCUUGGUGACAUUCCUUUGAAGAACAUAUUUUAGCAACUUCACAAUUUGGAAGGUAACUAGGACUAUAGUGUUGCCGAUAGAUAGUCAGACAGUUAAGUGUGGUCGUGGAGUAAGGCCAUAAGUGGGGCUAGGCUGCAAGGGCAAUUUGAGGACCUUUUACACCUUCUCGAGCCGGUUCAACUCUCUGCCAAGAAUGAUCAUAUCCUGGUAUAUGAAAAACAUUAUAUAAUAGUUGUUGUUACAAUGUUCCAAUAUCCAUAUACUAAAUCCAAAUCAAAAUUCCAUUUCUAGAAUAAUAAAGUCUUAUAGCUCAAGUGACCAUUCCUACUUAGCUCAGAAGAAGGACUUUAUUGAUGGGUUUGACUAAACUUAAUUUGUGUGAAUUAUGCGAAUACUAUCAUCUCAAUAUUUGACUUUACUCUAGGUAUAAUUAAAUAUCUUAGAGUAUAUGAUUGGUGUUCUUUCGUGACAUAGAAUCUCUUAGCUCGAUUAAGUAUACUCUCGAAGUUACAAAGAUUUCUAUACGAUCCUUGAAUGACAUAGAUCAACAUAGCUUUUCAAUGAACUCAUUCAUCCAAUCAUAUUAGAUUUAAACUUCUAAAGUAGUGUAUUCUUAUUUUGUAGUAUACUGCAUCAUUUUUUUUGCUUGGACCUCAUCCCAACUAAACUUACUCUUUAUCCCACAAUGAAUUCGUAAUCCAAUUAUAAUUCAUAAUUAUCUCUAUUUUCUUAGGAUUCAUAAUUUUUUGUAGCUCUUUACAUGAAGAUUUUAUUCUAAACUAAUUGUCUCAUAUACAUUCUCUUAUUUCUUCUAAAGUACUUAGAAUGUUCCUAUAGUCAUCCAUUGACUAAACCAUGUAUUCAGUUGGUGUAUUAUGAUAUGCUCAUAACAUAAUCAUAUACUAAGCAUUAUGCAUAAUAUGACAUAAAUGAUGGAUUCAGUUUCCAAGCAAAUCGAAUAUAAAUCAUUUCAGCUAGUUCAAACUUAUGAGAUAGGUCCUUUUGAUGCUGACUCAAACUUAGUACCAUAUGACAAUGCUAAGGUUUCUCCAAAGGAAUCUUCUAUCUUGAUCCCUUUCAAGAUAUUGUCAAUAUAUGCGUAAGUAUAUAAAACUUUUAAAAUUUAUUUUAUCUAUCUCUAUAGAUUUUACAUUCCAAGAAUGUAUCUUGUUCUUCCUAAGUCUUUCAUUUUAGAAACACAUUCCAAGUCAAGGUGAAAACCCUUGGCAUGGUCAUAAUGUAAUUUCUCAUGGUUAAGUAUGUCUCAUUGAUACAAGAUUAGGAAUAUCACUAUGCUCCCACUAGUUCUUAGUAAAUACACAUGUUCUAUUCAUUUUGAUAUAAAAGCAUACCUUAUGGUUUCAUAUUAAAAUGAUGAUUACAACAUUGAGAUGUUUGCUUUAUAUCCACAAGUGGAUCUCAAGCUUUACAUAUUUUGUUAGGAUAACAUGUAUUAAGAAAACCUCCAUGCUAAUCUAUAUAGAUAUCUUCUAGUAGAUGUCUAUUAAUAAAAGCGAUAUUUCUUGAAAUUGAUUUGCUAUAUUUCAUAUUGAGAAUAUGAAUUUAUAGUAAACAAUAUCCUUAUUGAUAUAAUCAUGGCUACUUGUGAAAAAGGUUUUAUCAUAGUAAAUGUCAUGAGUAUGAUAAGGACCAUAGUCAAUAACAUGAGUAUGAGAAAAUCCUUUAUAACAAGUCUUGCUUUAAAUGUGUAUAGUUAUCCAUGUAAUGUAUUCUUUCUAGAAGAAUCACUUACUCCUUCUAGCAUUGCUAUAAAGAGAAAGUUCAAUCAAGACCACACUUGAUUAUCAUACAUGGAUUACAUCUCAUGUUCGUGACUCUAAGUCAUUAAUCAAAUACGAGAUCUGACAUAACAUCUUGGUAUUUGAUGGAUUUGCUAGAAACCAUCAAUAAAAAAAAUCAAUGAGAGAUUCCAAAUUUCUCAAGUCAUAGAUGAUUUCUAUCACUAAUAUGAACAAUUUGUGUUUGUGAAUAAAUAUUAUUCAAGUUUAAAAAUCCUUGUUAAAUCUAGUGCCAACUGUAACUACAUCAGGUUAUGGUCCUUGAGCUACUUCAAGUUCCAUGUACCUCCCACUUGCUUUGUCAUUAGAAGCUUGCAUUCUGUUAACUCAACUAUUAGAGGAACAAGAAAACUUAUUCUUGGUGGGUUUGAAUAUAAUAAUCUAAGCCACAUUUAGAGUAUUAUACAAAUAUAUAUGUAGUAGAUUUUGGGUUCAAAAGCUUUUAGUACAUUAUAUGCUUAAAAUCCACAAAACAUUUAAUAAGAUAGGGAUGAAAUCUUUCCAUACAAGAUCUUAUGAAUAAAAUGUUAUAUCUACUAGUUAGUUGGUGUUUGUACUCGAGGUACAAUUGAUAGUGUUCUAGGUGUUGUCCUGUAACACCCAUAAAAAAUCAUGCCAAAUUAAAACUUUUUAAUUCAUUAAAAAACCAAUGAUUAUUACAAAUUUGUUUUCAAAAUGGUUUCAUGUCAGAGUAUCCCAGAAUCAAAUAAUAAAAACAUAAGGAGGUGCACGGUCAUGCCUUCGCCUUCUCGCGAUCAUCAAAAGUACCUGAAACAUAAUCAAUAACUGUAAGCCCGAAGCAUAGUAAGUUCCCCCAGAAUACCAAAGCCACACAAACCAUAUAAAUAUCACAUAAACAUACAACAUGCAUAAUGAGCCAUCAGCCUGACUGGACCGCCUUGCAGGUCCAUCAGUCUAUCUGGACCGCUCUCCGAGCGAUCGACACGUCUGGACCUCCUUUUAGGGCCUUCAGCCUAUCUAGACCACUCGCCGCCCUUCGACCUGACUAGUAUGCCUUAUCGGGCCUACAGUCUAUCCGGUCCACCCUGGGUAUGUUGUCCUUCAGCACAAGUAGGUCCGCAUCAACCCAACCCCCAAAUCAAACAAUCAUGUGCACAUAAAUAUCAUACGCUAGCAUAUCUAACAGUCAAAACGAUCUAACAUACCACUAAUCAUAACAUCAUCCUAUAUACCAGGAUACUGACCUAACAGGUCACUAACAUAGCAUCAUCCUAUUUACCAGGAUACCGACCUAACAUGUCACUAGAAUGGCAUCAUCCUAUUUUUGGAUUAGUGUCUAAGUCCAUAACUAUUUUGGUAUGUACUUGACCCGAUGGUGCAUGGUCCUUUUGGGUUGCCUUCACCAAAGCAACUUGAUGGGAUGAAUUAUGGAGAGAGAGGAUUAAUUAUGAUUUAUUAAUAUAUUAUGAGAAUAAUAUAUUAAAGGAGAAAUCAUAUUGUUUAAUUAAUAUUAGUCAAGAAUUAAUAAAGAAUUAAGCUUGUGGCUAAAAGACAUUAAUUGAACCUAAGGGACUAGAACUGUCAAUUGUGUGAUAGUUGAAUAUUGAGCUAAUGGACUCCAUAUUAGAGGGGUGGAUGAAUUCUAUGGGUAAACCCAUUAGAAAUCGUCCUAGGCCUUUAAGGAAGGAGUCCAUGGGUUGCUUAGGGCCUAAGCAUCCAAAUUAGGGUUUCCUUGUUAGAUAACCCUAAUAGCCUCACUAUUUAAAGAACCCUUGCGACUCAAAAACGUGGUGGAUUUGUUCCAUAGGGUUUCCACACGUUUUGGGUAGCCUCCACUCUCCUUAUUCUUCAUCCUCUUGCUCUUGGUGUUUGUGAACCAUUAGAUGAGUGACAUUUGUGACUCUAAGCUUUCUAAAGUCAUUACAAGGAGGAUUUGAGAUUGUUAUUGCUACAUAACAAUCAAGGUAAGAUCUAAACCCCAUUCUUAUGUUAAUAUGAUUAAUUGUAUGCUAGAACUAGGGUUUAAAGUCUUGGAUGAAUUGCAUGUACAAUAGAGAAACCUAGAUCCAAGCAUUAGGGUUUGCAUGAGCACAUAGGAUGUUCUUAUGGCCAAAACCCAUCAGUGGUAUCAGAGCCUUGAUUGGUUUCUAUUGUAUUGAUGCCUUUGUUAUUUGUUCAAGCUUCAAAAAUCGAUUUUUUGGUCCCCUUUCUGAUGAACUCGGCGAGUUCCAAUGUGGACUCGGCAAGUAGCUCCAACUCGGCGAGUCCAUAGAGGAACUCGGCGAGUUUGGGCGUCAGAAAGAGGGAAUUUCGGGAUUUCUUGCUGUUUUGCUUGAGGAUACUUGCCUUAAUUGUUUUGGGUCUUUAAUAUUCGAAUUUUACGUUAUAUUUGAAUAUAUCCUUGAUUAAACAAAAGAUAUUUACCUAUCGAUUAGAUAAUAACUUCCUUAUAUGAUUAAAGAUUGAUUAUUUGUAUUAAUUGGGUAACUUAUCUUGCAAGAAAUUGAAAUUAUAUCAAAUAUAGAUAAUGACAAAAGUAAUUGUUUAAUUUCUAUUAUUUGUUGUUUGAUCCUUGUGUUGUGAAAAAGUUACAAUUGUGCCCAUGUGUGUUUUAUGGUUUAAAUUUGAACUUAAAGGUUUUGUUUUGAAAUUUAAAUAGUUGAAACCCUAAUGUUUUGAAAUGUUUUAAAACUUGCCCUCAAGUUUUGGAAUUUAAAUUUUGAUUAAAAGUUUAAUUUAGAAAUGUUAAAUUCUAAAACCCUAGUAUUGUUUUGAAAAGUUCAAAUCACACCCUUAUGGUUUUAUUAAUUAAUUAAAGUGUAUAAUUAAAAGAGAUUUAAUAAAUCCAUAAAGUUUUGGUUUACAAUUUAAUUAAAUUAAAAGUAUAAUUAUUAAAUUUGACCACAUAGUAUUUUAAAAGUGUAAAAUACACCCUAUACUAUAUAUAACAUUAAAAGUCUAAUAUUAUAUAUAUGUAUGAGUAAACAUUCAGUCUUACCGUUAGUAGGCCUCAUUCACGAAGCUGGUCUAUAAGGGGUGUUUAAGGAAAUUGCCUAUAAAAUGGCGAUUGAAUGGGUAUCCACUCUUACCCACCGCACUCUUGACUAGUGGAGGGUCGUUAGCCGAACGGGUAGGAUAGGACAGAAACCUUCCAUUAUAAGUAUAAUGAAGUACAAAAGUAACUAAAUGUUUUACAAAUUCCCAAUCUUAGUUACUUUAGGCAAAAGUGAAUUGAUGCAAUUCCAUGAAAUUACACUUUGUACGCUUGCAAAGACGUUAGUGGUUAACCGGCACACUAAAUGGUUAUGAGCAAAGGUAGAAAAGGGUGACUCAAUGUUUGUCAUAGUUCGGUGGAGCGUGUGUGGUUAACCGGCACAUCGAAUAGGUGACUGUGACAUGUGGGGGAACCAUGUAAGCUUGCAUGGUUAUUCACACCUUGUUUUGUGAUCCUCGGCAUCCCAGUCACAAAUCGAGGGGCAUAUCGAGAUUUAAACAUGCCAUUGAAAAGUUUAAUGAAUCUCAAAUGAUCUAGGAGUUUUCAAAGCAUUUAAAACUUAAUCGGUUUUUCGUUUUUCAUGGUGGAAAAUUAGUGAAUCGUCAUUCACUUACCUUCAAAUAUUCUGCAACUAGAUUACGGCAUCCCUUUUCUAGGUUGUAGCGUAUUGUGUUGGGUCCUAGCCUUAAUAUCUCAUUUGGGUGAUUUAUUAAGGACUCAAUCAAUCAACUAACUUGAAUUUGUUUUCUCCCAUUUUGUAGAUGUCAAAGUAUGACAACUAUGGUAUUCCCAAAUCCCGUGGAACAAGCUUUCCACAUGAAGAUGAUAUUCCACGAUUCGAUCGAGGAACAAGAGAUCAUGCUUCACUUCCUCCACCUCCUCCAAUUAUUCUCCCUAACCCACAAGUUCGAAGGCUUGAAAAGUUCAAGCUCACUCAAGCCCUUUUGGCAAGUAAACAUGAAGAAGGAAAGUCGGUGUGUGCACACGUCCUAGAGAUGAAGUCACACAUUGAUAGGUUAAGAAUGUUGGGAUCCGUUGUCUGUGAGGAGCUGGCUGUUGAUUGGGUUCUUCAAUCACUUACUAAAUCGUAUAGUGAGUUCGUAAGAGAGUACUAUAUGAUGAACCAUGACGUGACCCUUAUAGAUCUCACCUACAUGCUUAUUGCUGCUGAAUCAGCAAUGAUUUGGCGCACUGGAAAAGCAAAGUUGAUUGGUGAAUCUGCCUUUUAGACCUCUAUGGAUAUAGGCAAUGGCAACGAAAGACAUGCCAUGAUCGAAGAGUUUAAUCAUAAGAGAAAGGCGAAGUCUGAAAUCGUUCCAUGUGCUAUUCCAAAAGAGUCAAUUUGCUUUCAUUGCCAUGAGAAGGGGCAUUGGAGACGAAGCUGCCCUAUUUACCUAAGAGAUCUAAGAGAUGGGAGAGUCAAAACGUAUGGCUCUGCUUUAGGUAAAAUCCAUUAACUAACUCUUUUAAGUUCCUAUUCUAGAUUCUUAAUACAUGAUGUGAUAAGAUUACAUUUCGAUGUCUUGUAGGAUCGAAGAAAAGAGAGGAAGCUUAAGGGAAGAAGUGAGCGGAAUUUAAUCGUGAAGAAAUGGAUUUCGAUCGCAUUACUUGAAGAUUAGAAUCUUGAGCUACUACUUAGAGUUAGAAUAAGAUUGCUAAGAAAUAUGUAUUAACAUAGUUUUUCAAUUGAAUUGCAUUGUAAGGACAAAUUUUUCCGCAAUAAAAUAAAUUUUGAUUUUAUAUUAUUUAUUUAUCCUUGCAAUGGCGUGUAUGAAAAAUUGAUGUUUGAAUGUUUCUAUUAUUAGCAAUAAUGGAUUUGAUUCUUAAUUAUUUUAUUUGCGGAAAUGUCGAGAAUUUACCAAAUAGGGAGAGUUUCUCCUCGCCCAAGGUUCAACUGGAUAGAAACUUGGAAUCAUACAAUGAGUAUUGCAUGAUGAAUGAAAAUUUUCAUUUUGGAAAUUAGACUAAUUCGUUGACAAAGUGUCAAGUGAAGGACUAGGACAUCAAGUACACAAGGUUGUGUGUUGAUCAAGUCCACCACAAGAGUGACAAAGAUAUUUGUCAUGAUUUACUAAAGGUUUAGUGAAUAUGAUUAUACUUAUAAGAUUAAGCAUAAUUUUGAAUUGAUUGAAAGAGUUUAAAUCAAUGGUAGAACGAAUAAGAAGAAUCAAGUAGGCAGAAAGAUAAAAGUUUCUCUAUUCUAAGAAGAAGGGAGAGUACCUUUUAUUAUGUUUUAUGAUAGGUCUUAAUGAUUAAGAACCAUAUCUCAAUUGAUCCUCUAAGUGAGUCUUAGUGCAAUUGUAUGUCUGAGAAGAGGAAUCAAGAAUUGAAGAAAUGGUUAAAUCAAGAAGUCAAUCAUACUUCAUUCCAAAACAAGUCUUAGAGUUAAGAUUGUGACAUUGAGUGACAAGUCUUAAGAAGGUUUAUAACAUUCAUCAAAUGUGGAAUUUGAAAAGGUUUUCUUAUUACUGCACAUUUGAAAUUGGAAAGUUGUGAUGUCUUGGAUAAGACAAAGACCAACUAGGACCAAUUUUGUGAAGUGUUUUGUCUUGAUAAAAGCUACACUAACUCUUGAAUAUUUGUUUGUCAAGAAAUGUUUAUUGACAAAAGAAUCUUAUAUGUCAAGGAGUCAGUGGGAGUCUCAAUGGUCUUGAAAGGUUUCAAGAACAAAUCAAGAAUAAACCUUAUCGAUCAUCACUAGCACAUGAGUUGAGGUUUACAACCUAUCGUGUUGACACUAUCUUGUUUCUGUGCCGUUCCAAUUGAGUUAAUUAUGCAUGUGAGUCCUAUGAGUUCUCAUUUGAAUGCAUAAAAGGCAAGGACCUUGAUCAAUGAAAAGUACAUUGAUAGGAAAGGGUGAGCUGCUUAACUACUUGGAAGACAUGGUGGGCAGUCGCGUUACCAUAAGGCAAGAAAUCAAUAUUGAGAAGGUUCAGUCCGUAUGAGUUUGGGUUUGUCGCAAACUUUGGUUUUGACAAAUUCGCAUGGAUAGGAACACAUACACCAUUAAAAUCUAAGUGUCAUAAGAUUCCCUCCUUCAUGAAAAUGACUGUGAGGAAAUGCUUUCGCUGAGAGAGAUUUUAAGAAGAUAUUGAUUGUGAAAUUGUAUUCUCGAAUUCGAUUAUGGUUACGGUAUCCCUUUCCAUGAUUCGAAUUGUGAGAUUUGGCAAUUAGUCUGAAUUGUUUAGACACACAUAUGAGCUAUCUAAGGCAAAGGUGUAUAAGUUUAAGAAGAUUAGAUAAAGGAUUAUCAUGUCAAAGCUAGUGGGAGCAUAAGAGUUUUGAUUAUGUUAUAAUAAUCAUCCUAGUGGGAGCAUAAAUGUUGUGCUCGUAUGAUUAUUAUGGUAAGUAUUGCAAAGUUAGCAAUAUUAGUUAUAGAAAACAAGAGUUACACUUUGCAAAGUUGUAAUGGUUGAAUAGUUGUUUUGCUAUAAUUAAGGGAGAGAAUAUUAUGCUUCAUUUCAAAUCUAAAGGCUUAGGUUGUGGAAUGUUAAUAAAUUUAGUCAAGGAUACAUAGUGCGUUCUCAAAUUUCGAUUAUGAUUAUGGCAUCCCUCUUCAUAGUUCGAAUUAUGAGAACGUGACACAUAAAAUAUUAUGGCAGAAGAUUGAUAAAGUAUCAGAUCUUUAUGUAAGACUUUAUGCAUCGUGUCCUAUACACUUUGGGUAAAGGAUCGAUUGCAAAUGCUACAAUAUUUGAAUAUUCUUAAAUUUUCCAAAUGUCUAGCGCAUUUAGAGGGAAAAAGGACAAGAAUUGGUUUUGACUAAGAUAAUUAAACAACUAUCAAAGGACGAUCCAAAGCUCGCUGAGGAUUGGUCGCUUGUGAGUAGUUGGAAGUAUGAUAUUGGAUGGACCAUAUCGACUUUAUUAUGAAUAGAUAAGAUUAUAUUAAGAAUGAGUUGUCAUAUGGUAAAUAUGGAAAUGAUUCCAUAUUGAGAGUUGGAUAUUGAGAGUUGGAUAUUGAGAGUCUAUGUCUAGAUUAGAAAUUGUAUGCAAAAGGAUGUUCAAAGGAAUGUACCUUGAGUGAGAGACAUCACGUCUAUGGAAUUGUAUUGUAACAAUCUCAAAUAGAGAACUUUGUAAUUUCAUUGGCAAUAGUCAUUGUGAUUUUUGUGCCAUGACAUUACAAAAGGAUCAUUGCAUAAAAUGUUAGAAUCUAGCAUAUUCUAUAAGUGGCAAGAAUUUGAUAUUCUUUCACUUGUGAAAAGGAUUGGGAGUUGUGAAAUGAGUAUGAUUGGAAAUGUGUUCAUUUGAUCUAUUUCACAAAGUAAGAACCAUAGGUAAGCAUUGUGUGCAUGCUAAGAGCAUGGGACAAGUGUAGUAAUAAUUCAAGUAAGAAGUUGAUUACCCGAAACAACAAAUAAUGAGUAAUCGAUAUGGUGAUAAAUAAAAGGUGUUUUAUUUAUACUCAAAGGUUUGAGGCCAUAUGGGAUUAGUAUUAUUCUUGUGUUUCACUUUGCAUGUUUUGACUUCCUGAAUAAUUUAAUUGGUUCAGAACAGUCAAAUUAUUCGAACGGGCCACAGUCGUUCAUAUGUUGGAAGUAGGUANNNNNNNNNNNNNNNNNNNNNNNNNNNNNNNNNNNNNNNNNNNNNNNNNNNNNNNNNNNNNNNNNNNNNNNNNNNNNNNNNNNNNNNNNNNNNNNNNNNNNNNNNNNNNNNNNNNNNNNNNNNNNNNNNNNNNNNNNNNNNNNNNNNNNNNNNNNNNNNNNNNNNNNNNNNNNNNNNNNNNNNNNNNNNNNNNNNNNNNNNNNNNNNNNNNNNNNNNNNNNNNNNNNNNNNNNNNNNNNNNNNNNNNNNNNNNNNNNNNNNNNNNNNNNNNNNNNNNNNNNNNNNNNNNNNNNNNNNNNNNNNNNNNNNNNNNNNNNNNNNNNNNNNNNNNNNNNNNNNNNNNNNNNNNNNNNNNNNNNNNNNNNNNNNNNNNNNNNNNNNNNNNNNNNNNNNNNNNNNNNNNNNNNNNNNNNNNNNNNNNNNNNNNNNNNNNNNNNNNNNNNNNNNNNNNNNNNNNNNNNNNNNNNNNNNNNNNNNNNNNNNNNNNNNNNNNNNNNNNNNNNNNNNNNNNNNNNNNNNNNNNNNNNNNNNNNNNNNNNNNNNNNNNNNNNNNNNNNNNNNNNNNNNNNNNNNNNNNNNNNNNNNNNNNNNNNNNNNNNNNNNNNNNNNNNNNNNNNNNNNNNNNNNNNNNNNNNNNNNNNNNNNNNNNNNNNNNNNNNNNNNNNNNNNNNNNNNNNNNNNNNNNNNNNNNNNNNNNNNNNNNNNNNNNNNNNNNNNNNNNNNNNNNNNNNNNNNNNNNNNNNNNNNNNNNNNNNNNNNNNNNNNNNNNNNNNNNNNNNNNNNNNNNNNNNNNNNNNNNNNNNNNNNNNNNNNNNNNNNNNNNNNNNNNNNNNNNNNNNNNNNNNNNNNNNNNNNNNNNNNNNNNNNNNNNNNNNNNNNNNNNNNNNNNNNNNNNNNNNNNNNNNCAAACACCAAAAGUAAUACAAAAAUAAGAGAUGGAUCUUGUAUGCUCCACCUUCUCCAAAAUGUUGCACCUGUACCUGUCUAUCUUUGACCUGAGGAUACAAGUUAUUUUGAAAACGAGUAUCAGCAUAAAGCUGGUGAGUUCAUAAGAGUUUAGUGUAAAUUUUAGUAUAAAAUGUAUUAGUGCAGAUAGUGUGAAAAGCUGCAGUUUACAUUCGUAAGUAGUAGAAAACUCUAGAAAAUCCUAUAUUUUCCAGAAAAUACCUUGUAAGUGAAAGCCUUUAAGUUGCAUGUACUUAUCUUCAUUUAAAACCAUUUGUUGUAAAGGUAUAUUAGUGAGUCUCCAAUAGGUAGUGUAAUAAGAAAAGUUAUGCCUGAUAUCGGUAAUAGUGGGGCAAACUCCCAUAAGAAAUAGAUACUUAUUUACUUCGGGAUUUUAACUUAUUCUUUAGUGUUAGUAUUUUAGUGUGAAUGUAGUGUAUUCCUUGUAUGCUACUGAUAGUGUGAGUAAUAGAGUACCCCAUGACCUUCCCGGUCAUGCACAGUGUAGUGAAGUAGCGGCAUCCCUGGGCCUGCACGGCUCGGACUGAAAUUAACAGUCGGGAUGUAAUAGUGUCUGCCCCGUAUAGAUCUAUACAUGUAGCGUCGUUCUCCUGUCGGAAAACUCUGGGCGUAGUGCGUAGCGAAUAGAGUAUCUCAUAGUGAGUUAAUGUGUUAUCUUCGGAUUAGUACUUUCUCUUGUAUUAUAGUGUAGUAGUCUUUUGUAUAGCUCGUAGUGUUUUCUCUUAUUAGUGUAUAGUCUCAUAAUAGUGUGUAUUAUAGUGUGUAGAGUAGUGGCAGUAACGAGUAGUAGUGGCCUUAACUAUACCCAUUAUAGUUAACUUAGUGUGUAUAAUUCUUGGCAAUUAAGUAGUGAAGGCAUCGAUUGAAUUGAAAAGGCUCGUAUCCAACACCAAUAUACAUGAUAUAUAAUUAAGAAAUCAACGACAGUCGGACGGAUAACAACUACCCUAAGCCCACAAUCAAACAAGAACAGGAAAUAAGGCGAGCUAUCGGUCCUAAGUCCUUCAAGUCUUACUUAUAUAAAUAUAUUAGUGUGGUUACAUUUUAUAAGAAAAUAUAUUUAAUAAAAUUCUUGUCAAAAGGGAACAUUUAGAAAAUAGUUUAUUUAUCCAAAAUAGUUUUGAAAACGCAAAGUUCUUUUAUAAGGCAUAGUGAUAAAUCACAUAUGGUUUGAGUUACAGAUAGUGAAUCACAUGUGAUUAAUUUUCAUAAAUAUGUAUAUUCGACUUGUACCCCCCCCCCCCCCAAAANNNNNNNNNNCCCCCCCUAAAACAUAUAAAAACAUUUGAAAGGUUCAUUAAAGGGGUAUGAACUCACAGUUUAUCGUAGGGUUCGAGUGUCAACGGAUGCCCUGAAUGCCAAUGGUCCCUAUAAAUCAUGUGAUGACACAUAAUUGGGUUAGAACUAGGGCGUUUCAUGCUUAAACAUGAUGGAAAAACAUUCUUAGGGCUUGACAUUACUGAAUACAAAUGUCUCAUGAUCCAUACUUAGUGAUUCAUGCAAGUAUAGGGCCAAAAGGGGGCAUUUGAGUGAGUGCAAGGCCUUGAAACUUAGUGUACGGCUGAGGUAUGCGGCCAGAAGGGUGUGUGAGGCUGCACACAAGUGUGUGUGCGGCCGUUCAGAGUGUAUGUGCGGCCGUACACAGGAGUGUGCGGCCGUACACUCCUCUUGUGAGUCCAAAUGACGUGUUUGCUCUUCACUCUAAGGAGAUUUGAAUGUGUGCUGCCCCCCUCAUGAAGGUGUGAGGUCGUACACCUUCAAGGGACCAUGAAUAUGAUGAACAUGAUGAGUUUUAAAGAUUGGGAUUCAAGUGUUUACCACUAAUAAGCUCGAAGAUGAACUAGAUCACAAAUAUGAGGCCUUCAAGGUGUUCUUGGUUGAAGAUUUUUGAGAGAGAAAGUAGAGAGAGAGUAAGGAGCAUCCAAAUGAAUAAAUGAAGUGGAUAUCCAUCUAUAUAUAUGUUUGGGUGUGCGGCCGCACACAUGGGUGUGUGGCCGUACACACAAAAGUGUGGCCGCACACACCUCCUUUGGUGUGUUUGAUCCGAUUCCAUGAUGUAAAACACUUUCCAACACUUCCUAAGACCCAUAGUUGGACUAUAUUAUGCCCAAAACACACCUUUGGAACCACAAGUUUUACAAAGGAUGAUGAAUUCAAGAUUUAAAGACAAUACGCGGACCAAUUACAUAGGAUGAAAGUUUCGGGCUGUCACAUUAUCCCCCCAUUAGAGGGAAUUUCGUCCCGAAAUUUAGAAUUCCUACAGAGGGUAGUUACAGAACUAUUAGGCAAAAAGAUGGGGAUAUUUGAGUUUCAUUUGAUCCUCGCGCUCCCAAGUGAAUUCCGGUUCCCGCUUGGCGUUCCACCUAACCUUCACAAUUGAGAUGCGGCGUUGUUUCGUUCGUUUCACUUCUCGAUCCAUAAUUUCCGCAGGCUCUUCUACAAAGUUGAGGUUUUCAUUGACCUCAAUCUCGUCGAGGGGAAUCACGAGAGUUUCGUCGGAUAGGCAUUUCUUCAAGUUCGAGACGUGGAAGGUAGGAUGUAUGUUACUUAGCUCGAGGGGUAAGUUAAGUUUGUAAGCUACAGGGCCGAUUCUAGCAAGAAUCUCAAAAGGCCCUAUGUACCUUGGGUUCAGCUUUCCACGCUUCCCGAAGCGUAUCGUGCUCUUCCAGGGCGAGACCUUCAAAAGGACUCAGUCUCCUACCUGAAACUCCAAGGGUUUCCUUCGUUUGUCCGCGUAGCUUUUCUGUCGAUCCUUAGCGGCUUUUAAUCGUUCACGAAUUUGUACAAUCUUCUCAGUUGUUUCUCGAAUGAUCUCCGGACCAGUGAGAGCGCUGUCAGGAACUCGUCCUUUAGCCAACUGAGUGUCACCCACCUCAGCCCAGCACAAAGGGGAUCUGCAUUUUCGGCCGUAGAGGGCUUCGAAUGGAGCUGCCUUGAUGCUCGUAUGAUAACUAUUGUUGUAGGAAAACUCCACAAGAGGCAAGUGUGUAUCCCAUGAUUUCCCGAAGUCGAUCACACAAGCUCGCAACAUAUCUUCUAAGGUUUGGAUCGUCCUCUCACUUUGUCCGUCGGUCUGCGGAUGGUAAGCUGUACUCAUGUCCAGCCUCGUCCCUAGAGCCUUUUGUAGUGAUUGCCAAAAUCUCAAGGUAAAUCUACUAUCUCUGUCUAAGAUAAUAGAUAUAGGGACGCCAUGCAGCCGUACUAUCUCCUUAAGAUAUGUUCUUGUGAGCUUCUCCAUCUUGUCCGUUUCUUUGAUGGAUAGGAAGUGUGCAGACUUGGUCAAUCUGUUAACGAUGACCCAAAUGGUAUCCAACCCACCCGUUGUCUUGGGCAGUUUGGUUAUAAAGUCCAUUGUAAUCCGCUCCCACUUCCAUUCAGGUAUCUCUGGUUGUUGGAGGAGUCCCGAUGGCUUUUGAUAUUCGACCUUGACCUUCGCGCACGUAAGGCACUUACUCACGAAGGUAGCGAUCUCUGCUUUCAUGUCAGGCCACCAGUAUAGCUUCCUGAGAUCCAGAUACAUCUUAUCCGAACCUGGGUGGAUGGAGUAUCGAGUGUUGUGAGCUUCCUUCAUGACUACCUCUCUGAAACCUCCAUGGCGCGGAGUCCAGAUUCGGUCCAUAAGAUAGUAAGCUCCGUCGCCUUUGAUCUCCAAACUUUUAUCCAUUCCGCGCAGGGAUUCUCCCGUCACAUUCUCAGGCUUUAAUGCUUCAAGCUGAGCCUCCUUGAUCUGUGCGGAUAGAUGCGAAUGGAUAGUCAUUGUUAAUGACUUGGUUCUUCGACCAGAAUACUCUUUCCUACUCAGGGCAUCUGCUACCACGUUGGCUUUCCCCGGGUGAUAUCGAAUUUCGCAGUCGUAAUCGUUGAGUAGCUCAACCCAUCGGCGCUAUCUCGUGUUGAGUUCUUUCNAUUUCUGGAUCAGUAUGUGUUGAAGGCUUUUAUGGUUAGUAUACACUACACUCUUCGUCCCAUACAAGUAGUGUCUCCAGAUUUUUAGUGCGAAGACGACCGCUCCUAGUUUGAGGUCGUGUGUAGUGUAGUUCACCUCAUGUGUCUUUAGUUGUCUUGAGGCAUAAGCGAUUACUUUACCUCGUUGCAUCAAGACACAGCCGAGUCCCUGAUUCGAUGCAUCGCAGUAUACCACGAAGUCUUCUGUUCCUUCGACAAGGGAUAAUACUGGUGCGGUGCAUAGGGAUCGCUUCAGGGUCUGGAAUGCCUUCUCCUAUUUCUCUUCCCAGUCGAAUGAUACGCCCUUAUGGGUCAACAUGGUGAGAGGCUUCUCAAUCCUAUAGAAGUUUUGGAUGAAUCUGCGGUAGUAGCCAGCGAGGCAUAGAAAUUGAUGAAUCUCUGUAGGCGUCUUUGGUGUUGACCAGUUCUCAAUAGCUUUAAUUUUGGAGGGAUCCACGUGGAUUCCUUCUUCAAUAACCACGUGUCCUAAGAAUUCGACUUUUCGGAUCCAAAACUCGCACUUAGAGAACUUUGCAUAUAACUUCUCUGAUCGUAGUGUUUCCAGGACUCGUCGUAGGUGAUCCUUAUGUUCUUCCUCGCUCCGAGAGUAGACGAGUAUAUCAUCAAUAAAGACGAUGACGAAUUGAUCUAGAUACGGACGACAUACCCUAUUCAUUAAGUCCAUGAACACUACGGGAGCGUUAGUCAAUCCAAAGGGCAUCACUACGAACUCGAAGUGCCCAUAACGGGUUCGAAAAGCUGUCUUCGGAAUAUCUUCCUCAAGCACCCGUAACUGGUGAUACCCGGACCGAAGAUCAAUCUUGAAGAAAUAACUCGCUCCUUGUAGUUGGUCGAAUAGGUCGUCGAUACGAGGGAGAGGGUAGCGAUUUUUGACAGUGAGUUUGUUGAGUUCCCUAUAGUCGAUGCACAUACGGAACGAUCCGUCUUUCUUCUUUACGAACAAGACCGGAGCUCCUCAGGGUGAGAAGCUUGGUCUUAUAAAGCCCUUGAUGAGCAGCUCGUUAAGUUGACCGGAUAAUUCUUGCAUCUCUGCAGGCGCUAAACGAUAGGGUGACUUAGCUACGGGGGUAGCUCCCGGGAUUAGGUCAAUUCUAAACUCAACCUGACGUUUGGGAGGUAGACCCGGAAGGUCCUCCGGAAAGACAUCGGGGAAAUUGCAUACAACGGGAAUGUCCUUCGGAUCUUUUGUUUUCUUGCUAAUGUCAACAACGUGGGCAAGAAAGGCGCGGUAUUCCUUACGCAAGUAUUUCUGAGCCUGAAUACUGGAGAUGAUACGUAGGUUCGUACCGGGUUUGUCUCCAUAGAUCAAUAGAGUUUCGUGGUUCGGAAGAUUCAGACGAAUGGCUUUGUCAGAGCAUAGGAUAUCGGUACGAUGGAGACUCAACCAGUCCAUACCGACAAUGACAUCGAAAUUCUUGAUAGAGACUGGUAUGAGAUCGAUUGGAAAUGAGUGAUCUUCUAACGUGAGGGUACAACCUAUGUAGAUUUCUUUAGAGUUUUCUGUUUUCCCAUUAGCCAUCUCUACGACGAAUGUUUCUUUUAGUGGUUGAGGGGAUUGUUUGAGUAAGUGUUUAAAGUUUUGGUUUAUGAAGCUUCUUUCUGCACCACUAUCGAAUAAGACAUAGGCAUAAGAGUUGUUGAGAAGAAACGUACCCGUGACUACUGUGGGAUCCGCUACCGCCUCGCUGUGACCAAUAGCGAGUAGCAUUCCAGUUCCCCCAGCAUUCGCAGCCUUCGGACAGUUCUUCUUGAAAUGACCAGCUUCACCGCAGCCAUAACACGUCGGGGUCACUCCCGAACCGGAAACUUGCGAGAUAGGUUUGGGAGGGGCCUUGCAGAAUCGCACAGUAUGGCCCUUUCGACCGCAGUUGGAACACUGCAAUUAACGGCAGGGGCCAUUGUGGUGGAAAGGGAACUUGGGACACUUGGGCAGAUUCCCACUAUAAGCCUUUGGCGGUGCAGGAGUGGCUGGAGUAGUGGCAGCAUGGACCGCCACGAUUUGUUGAUUCUUGGAGGAGGUUUGAGUUUUCUUGCCUUUCUUCUUAUCCCAUCGCUUCCUCUUUCUGUUAGAUGAAUCGGGUGGUGCAGUGGUAGUUGUGGUUGUUGUUGCUGGAGUGGAAGACACUUCAUGGUUGAUCAGACUCUGGGCCAAUUCCUUGGCACUGUCGAAGGUGGUAGGGCGUGAGGCUAGUACGUUUCCUUGAUACGGAGGCAUUAGACCCCAUAUGUAUCGUUCAAUCUUCUUGCUUUCAGAAGGGAUCAUGUGGGGACACAUAGCCGCCAAGUCGCAGAACCUGGCCGUGUACGCUAUUAUGCCAGUCCCUACCAUUUUGAGGUUCCAUAGUUCCUCCUCAAGUUUCUGAAUUUCGCCCCUCGGGCAGUAUUCCUUUCUCAUGAGAUCCUUUAGAGUGUCCCAGCCCAUGGCAUUGGCUGUGACCAAGGAGAGUGCACUGACAUGGCCGUUCCACCAUGUUAAAGCCCUGUUAGUGAGGGUGGCAGUAGCGAACUUGAUUUUGCUCUCUUCGAGGCAAGAGCACAUUUCGAAUACAGCCUCGGUUCUUUCGAACCAUUGGGAUAAUGCCAGAAUUCCUCCAGUACCAUCGAAGAAGGUAGGUUUACAAUUCAUGAAGUCCUUAUAAGUGCAUCCCUGCACUCUUUGAUGGACUUCCCCAAAUCUAGAGUUACCACCGCUCGCGUCCCCGGAGUUCAUUUGAGCCAUGGCUGCUGUCACAGCCGCAGUCACAGCUGUUUGGAACAACACUGGGUCAAACUGCAGAGGAGGAGGUGGUGGAUGAGAGGUUUGAGUUGCUGGUCUUCCUCUGCUUGGACGCUUUCGUGGAGGCAUCUUUUACUGGAAGAUCACAGGAAUGAUAGCAAUAAUAAGAGUCUAUUGCAAAAUAGGAAUAGGGUGUUUCAUGGAUUAAUUCAACAUAAUCCAAAAAUCAUAGUGAGAGUCAUAGUAAUAGGAUAGUUAACUGCCAAUAUACUGGUGUUGAUGAUGUAAUACAAGUUAAGGAAAAAUUGACUUAACAAAAGGUCUUACAUCAAACCAUAGGGAAAAUGUUGGUAGUUUAGAGGUCUCGUUAAGGUACUUUUAAGCUAGGAAUGUUUAUAGACGAGAGAUCUACGGAUCAUAGAGGGGAAAGGUUAGUCCUUUAUACAAAAGAGUGAGGUAACUAGAUGUCUUCUACUGGCGACGGUUACUUGUGGGGCAAACCCUCAGAUCCUCUAGUCGACGCAUAACUUCCUGAAGGUGUCGAUCAUGAAUCCUUUGACGUGCUCGGAGUUCCCUAACUUCGGCUCGGGAUGCAGCUAGCUGUUGCUGCAGAGCCUCGUUGGUCCUCCUUGUCCUGUCCAUGGCUUCUUCAAGUUGGCGGAUGCGAACAGUGUUGAGAUUUGAGUUGGCAUCCACUUCUACAACUCGACCAAUGGCUGCUUGACCCUGCUCGACAUUCCUGGCAAUCCUUCGGACCAUGAUUGGCAGAACUCGGUCCGCUGAUCCCCCUUCGCUUAUGUUGUAGUAGCUUCGGUCUCCAUUGUAAGGUAUAGGCUGGCCCUGUUCUUCGCUCCAACGGUGCAAGGAUAUGGCCCACAUAGGAGUGGGUCCCUGAAAUGUCGGACGAGGGUUGGGGUUCGGAGCUUCAGGAGGUAGGUUGUUAACCUCUGGUUCGGAGCUGGAGCUAUCCGAGAAGCCUUCAUCAUGAUGAUCAUCCAAAGGGAUCGGGUGAUCAUUAUGUGACUCCUCAUCGAGCCAUCCUCCAUUGCCCUGAUUUGGAUAGUAUGGAUCGCCGGGUAGGUGGAAGCCAGCCAUACUAUCUAUGCGAGAAAGGGGAAAAGAAGAUUAAUAGACGUACUAACCUAAAUUACUUAUAAGAUGAAUCGUUACUAGUCGACCCAAUACUUGCGUAGUGCAUAACAAUUACAUGCAACCGAAGCAAGAUAGUCCUUCGAAUAAGCAACCCUAACUCUAGAUCCCCAAUCAAACAAGAACAGGAAAUGAAACAAAGGCUACAGAUUCUGAGUCUAUAGUGCCCUAGUCACAUGUAAUCGUGGUGUAUUCACUUAGCAACUAUUGUCCUACCAGUAACGACCCUUUUAGUUAUCAUAUAUGUAUGCUUUAGAGAUACAGACUACUCCUAUAGUAUUCUUAUGCUAGCGGUAUUAUGGUAGUGUUGGUAAGUUUUAGACUUGUUGCAACAUCACAACCAAACUUAGGUACAAGCUAGUCACUCUCAUGAAAAUGUAGUUGAUCAGGCUACAUUCCCCAAAAUGUGAUUAUAUGUCUCUAAGCCCAAUUAUGCUAUCCAACAAUCUUAAUACUUUUGUUCUGUUCUAGGGUGAUACUGGCUCCUGUGUUUUAUGCGUAUAUAUAUACUUAGUUAAAUCUUUUAGAUACUUAACAGUAUAUAUUCUUGGUCAGAGUGUUUUAGUCCCGAAGUGUUUAUAGUUCGUAUAUCUUUUAUAGGUUGAUAUACUUGAUUCACUAUAAACAAUGCUCUGAUACCAAUCUGUCACACCCCAAAACCGAUAACGGCGGAAUACGUUUCGGGGUGGAGGACGUCAUGUACAGUAUCAUCACAAUUGUAUAAUAGUAAAAACAAGAAACAUGCAACCAUUUCAUUUACAUAGUGAGUUUAAUUACAAGUGUGUUCUGUAAAGUUCAACAAACACCAAAAGUAUACAAAAAUAAGAGAUGGAUCUUGUAUGCUCCACCUUCUCCAAAAUGUUGCACCUGUACCUAUCUAUCUUUGACCUGAGGAUACAANAAGUUCAACAGCACCAAAAGUAUACAAAAAUAAGAGAUGGAUCUUGUAUGCUCCAUCUUCUCCAAAAUGUUGCACCUGUACCUAUCUAUCUUUGACCUGAGGAUACAAGUUAUUUGAAUACGAGUAUCAGCAUAAAGCUGGUGAGUUCAUAAGAAUUUAGUGUGAGUUUUAGUAUAAAAUGCAUUAGUACAGAUAGUGUGAAGGGUUACAGUUUACAUUCGUAAGUAGUAGAAAAAUCUAGAAAAUCCUAUAUUUUCCAGAAAAUACAUUGUAAUUGAAAAUAUGUAACUUGCAUGUAAGUUUCAUCAUUGAAAAAUCGUUUGUUGUAAAAGCAUAUUAGUGAGUCCCCAAUAAGUAGUGUAAUAAGAAAAGUUAUGCCUGAUAUCGGUAAUAGUGGCACAAACUCCCAUUAGUAUUAGGUACUUAUUUACUUCGGGAUUUUUAAACUUAUUCUUUAGUGUUAGUAUUUUAGUGUGAAUGUAGUGUAUUCCUUGUAUGCUACUGGCAGUGUGAGUAAUAGAGUACCCCAUGACCUUCCCGGUCAUGCAUAGUGUAGAGAAGUAGUGGCAUCCCUGGGCCUGCACGGCUCAGAGUGAGGCUAACAGUCGGGAUAUAAUAGUGUCUGCCCCGUAUAGAUCUAUACAUGUAGCGUCGUUCUCCUGUCGGAAAACUCUGGGCGUAGUGCGUAGCGAAUAGAGUAUCUCAUAGUGAGUUAAUGUGUUAUCUUCGGAUUAGUACUUUCUCUUGUAUUAUAGUGUAGUAGUCUUUUGUAUAGCUCGUAGUGUUUUCUCUUAUUAGUGUAUAGUCUCAUAAUAGUGUGUAUUAUAGUGUGUAGAGUAGUGGCAGUAACGAGUAGUAGUGGCCUUAACUAUACCCAUUAUAGUUAACUUAGUGUGUAUAAUUCUUGGCAAUUAAGUAGUGAAGGCAUCGAUUGAAUUGAAAAGGCUCGUAUCCAACACCAAUAUACAUGAUAUAUAAUUAAGAAAUCAACGACAGUCGGACCGAUAACAACUACCCUAAGCCCACAAUCAAACAAGAACAGGAAAUAAGGCGAGCUAUCGGUCCUAAGUCCUUCAAGCCUUACUUCUAUAAAUAUAUUAGUGUGGUUACAUUUUAUAAGAAAAUAUAUUUAAUAAAAUUCUUGUCAAAAGGGAACAUUUAGAAAAUAGUUUAUUUAUCCAAAAUAGUUUUGAAAACGCAAAGUUCUUUUAUAAGGCAUAGUGAUAAAUCACAUAUGAUUUGAGUUAUAGAUAGUGAAUCACAUGUGAUUAAUUUUCAUAAAUAUGUAUAUUCGACUUGUACCCCCCCCCUCUAAAACAUAUAAAAACAUUUGAAAGGUUCAUUAAAGGGGUAUGAACUCAUAGUUUAUUGUAGGGUUCGAGUGUCAACGGAUGCCCUGAAUGCCAAUGGUCCCUAUAAAUCAUGUGAUGACACAUAAUUGGGUUAGAACUAGGGCGUUUCAUGCUUAAACAUGAUGGAAAAACAUUCUUAGGGCUUGACAUUACUGAAUACAAAUGUCUCAUGAUCCAUACUUAGUGAUUCAUGCAAGUAUAGGGCCAAAAGGGGGCAUUUGAGUGAGUGCAAGGCCUUGAAACUUAGUGUGCGGCUGAGGUAUGCGGCCAGAAGGGUGUGUGAGGCUGCACACAAGUGUGUGGGCGGCCGUUCAGAGUGUAUGUGCGGCCGUACACAGGAGUGUGCGGCCGUACACUCCUCUUGUGAGUCCAAAUGAAGUGUUUGCUCUUCACUCUAAGGAGAUUUGAAUGUGUGCUGCCCCCCUCAUGAAGUUGUGCGGCCGUACACCUUCAAGGGACCAUGAAUAUGAUGAACAUGAUGAGUUUUAAAGCUUGGGAUUCAAGUGUUUACCACUAAUAAGCUCGAAGAUGAACUAGAUCAUAAAUAUGAGGCCUUCAAGGUGUUCUUGGUUGAAGAUUUUUGAGAGAGAAAGUAGAGAGAGAGUAAGGAGCAUCCAAAUAAAUGAAUGAAGUGGAUAUCCAUCUAUAUAUAUGUUUGGGUGUGAGGCUGGAGGGGGUGUAGUUGGGUGUGCGGCCGCACACAUGGGUGUGUGGCCGUACACACAAAAGUGUUGCCGUACACACCUCCUUUGGUGUGUUUGAUCCGAUUCCAUGAUGUAAAACACUUUCCAACACUUCCUAAGACCCAUAGUUAGACUAUAUUAUGCCCAAAACACGCCUUUGGAACCACAAGAUUUACAAAGGAUGAUGAAUUCAAUAUUUAAAGGCAAUACGCGGACCAAUUACAUAGGAUGAAAGUUUCGGUUGUCACAAUACGCAAAAUAGUUAUUAGACUUUUCCAAGUGGGAGACUGUUGGAUUAGUGUCUAAGUCCAUAACUAUUUUGGUAUGUACUUGACCUGAUGGUGCAUGGUCCUUUUGGGUUGCCUUCACCAAAGCAACUUGAUGGGAUGAAUUAUGGAGAGAGAGGAUUAAUUAUGAUUUAUUAAUAUAUUAUGAGAAUAAUAUAUUAAAGGAGAAAUCAUAUUGUUUAAUUAAUAUUAGUUAAGAAUUAAUAAAGAAUUAAGCUUGUGGCUAAAAGACAUUAAUUGAACUUAAGGGACUAGAACUGUCAAUUGUGUGAUAGUUGAAUAUUGAGCUAGUGGACUCCAUAUUAGAGGGGUGGACGAAUUCUAUGGGGAAACCCAUUAGAAAUCGUCCUAGGCCUUUAAGGAAGGAGUCCAUGGGUUGCUUAGGGCCUAAGCAUCCAAAUUAGGGUUUCCUUGUUAGAUAACCCCUUGAGACUCAAAAACGUGGUGGACUUGUUCCAUAGGGUUUCCACACGUUUUGGGUAGCCACCACUCUCCUUAUUCUUCAUCAUCUUGCUCUUGGUGUUUGUGAACCAUUAGAGGAGUGACAUUUGUGACUCUAAGCUUUCUAAAGUCAUUACAAGGAGGAUUUGAGAUUUUAAUUGCUACAUAACAAUCAAGGUAAGAUCUAAACCCCAUUCUUAUGUUAAUAUGAUUAAUUGUAUGCUAGAACUAGGGUUUAAAGUCUUGGAUGAAUUGCAUGUACAAUAGAGAAACCUAGAUCCAAGCAUUAGGGUUUGCAUGAGCACAUAGGAUGUUCUUAUGGCCAAAACCCAUCACCUAUAUACCAGGAUACCGACCUAACAUGUCACUAACAUAUCAACAUGCAAUAAACCCGAAUACAAAUCCGAAAAGGGUCGGCAUUGGUGCCUUCGACCCUAUUAGUAUAGUGAGGACAACUCACCUCACAAUGUCGAACUGUAGCGAUAAGAGCAAGCUCCGAAUCACAACCACAAACUCCACCACCUAUAACCAUCAUAGGACCAAGUCCAUCAAAAUCCCAAAUUACCAAAAUACCCUCAUGAGUCAAGCUUGGUCAACCCUUGGUCAAAGUCAAAGUCAAUAGUCAAGGUCAACAAUCCACGUUGACCCAACUCGUUGAGUGCACCUAGCAACUUGUCGAGUUCCUCUAGAACUCAAAAACCACAAAAACUUGAGUCAACUCGUCGAGUCCAUACAACGUCCAGAAGAUCAGGAAAAACCCAAUCUACUCGUCGAGUUUUCUUACUAACUCGUAGAGUUCAUGCCGAAUCUAGAAAACGGGGAAACCAGUCUCGACUCGUCGAGUUGGCUUAUCCAACUCAUCGAGUUCAUGUAGUCUACUUCUUAUCCAUACGAUUUCAAGCUACUCCAAAGCUCUAAAUGGUAGAUCUAGCCCCUAGGGCAUAGUUUCCAUGUAAAGUUGCAAACUUUACGUGUAUGCAAGGUCUUAAAGGCUAAAACCAAGCUAAAGAAGAAGUUUUAGGUAAGGAGAAGGCCAUAACUUGCUAAAGACUAGAACUUUAUGACUAUAAGGGGCUAGAGGAUUUUAGAUCUGAAGUUACAACUUCAGAUCAUGCCUAAAACCAGAAAUAACUCCACAACAACUAGAAAUAGACCUAAACCUUUCCAUGAAGAGAUCUAGCUAGAGAGAAGUCAAGGUAACGACUUGUUACCUUCAACAGGUGCUUCUUUUUUACCUGAUGAUCUGAAAUCUUAAACCACAUAUAUGUUUUUGUCAUAUAUCUUAAUUUGGAGUUCAAUCUGGAUGGAUCCAUUUGUGCCUCAAUGGUAAGAGACUUGAUGAACAUUAUUGAAUUAGAUCAUAUCUUUUGUGUGCAUUAAACAAAUUAAUUGCAUUAUAAUUUUUGAAUCUUUUGUUCAGGUAUACUACACUUGGUAAAAUUCCCACACGCUAUUUACUCUACAAAGAUGUGAACAUGAAUCGACUAUAAUCAUGUGUGGAAGACAAUGUAGAUGGAGUUUAAUUACUUUAGAAUCUGAUGGUUUAUUGGAGUUGAAAGCUUUGGGUAUCCAAAUGAAGUUGUACACAAAUUCGGUUGUAUCAAUCGACUAUUAUGUAAGUGGAUUUCUAUCUUGUUUCAUCAGUUAAAUGGAUCAUGAGUCGAUGUGCCUCCAAAGUUCCCCAUAUUCAUGUUAUUACGAUAUAAUUAAAAGAAUCAUAUUCUAUUUUGUUACAACAAUGACAGUUUUUGAGGAUAAUGAAGUGAUAUAUUUGAAUUUUGCUAAUCAUUCUUACAUAUCUAUGCAGGUUAUUUUGUAUUUCUAGGGCCAAAAUUCUGAAUGGGUGAAUGUGUACAUCAACAAUUUGAACCCAUAAAAUGAUGACUGGAUUGGAGUUUUCUCCCCUGCCAAUUUCAGGUUUUUAUCAAUUUUAUUUUCUACUUUUGUCAAUUUGUUUAUUAUAUUUAUAGCAUCCUACUUCCAUUUGUUAAUUAAUUAAUAAAAAAUGCAUUGCUAUAAUUACAUAUACUUCUUAAAGUAUAAUAUUUUUGAGAACAUAUUUUUUGUUCCACCUUUUUAGGUGGGACAAAAAGCUGCAGUUUUUAUCCAUCUUGGGAUAAAAAAUAGACCUGAUAAUCUGUUGUUUUCAGCAUUCAACCCGCUUCCCUGAAAACUCAAAAGCCAGCCCUCCGUAUUUAUGCACUUCACCUAUUAAGGUUUGUUCUUUUAUUUAUGACAUGUGCAUUUUAAAAAUGAGUAAUCAUUUGCUAAAAGAUAGGGAUAGUUAGGAAAUUUUAUAUAUAUCUAAAUAAUUAGUUUUCUAGCAACAACUCGUUACAUUAUUAUCCAAAUUUAAUUAUUUUGUCGUGUAUAAUAUCCCUUGUAUUAAUUUGAAUGUGAUUCAUAUAUUUACAUGUGAAUUACAUGUGAUUCACAUGUAAAUUAUGUGAUUCAUAUAUAGAUCAUAUGUGAUUCACAUGUAAAUCUCAUGUGAUUCACAUAUUAAUCACAUGUAAAUCAUAUAUAAAUGAUAUGUGAUUCACAUGUAAAUCACAAGUGAAUUACAUAUGAAUGACGUAUAUAUGCACGCAUUUAUAUGUUAAUCACAUGAAAAUCACAUUUGAUUCACAUGUAAAUCACAUUUGAUUCACGUGUAAUUCACAUUUGAUUCGCAUAUAAUUCACACGUGAUUCACAUGUGAAUCACAUAUGAUUUAAAUGUGAAUCACAUGCGAUUCACAUGUGAAUCACAUUUACAUAUGAUGUCAUAUGUAAAUGUGAUUUAUAUGAGAAUCGUAUGUGAUUCAUAUGUGAAUCGCAUGUGAUUCAUAUGUUAAUCACAUGAAAAUCAUAUAUGUAUUUUUGUGAGUGUUUUUGCAUCAAUCAUUUUUUUUAAUUUUCUUGUAGAUUUGGAAGAAAUUGUGGUGAAUAUUGAAAAGGUGAAAAUGAUAAAUUAAAGAAAAUAAGAAAAUAUUGACACGAAGACAUGAAAACGAUUUGAAAUUUGUAGCAUUUUUUAUUUUUUAUAUUUUAUUUUGUAUCGAAUAAAAAUAUUUGUACUAUUAUAUUUAUAGAUUCAUUAAUAAAAAUGAUAUUUUUUGUGAUUUACUUACAAAUAUUAUAGUAUAAGAAAUAUACAAAUAUGCAUUUGAAAAAAAAUAUUCAUAUAUGCACCUAAAAAUUUACUUUUUAAAAAAAUGCAGUUUCUUUUGAAAAAAUUGCAAUUUUUUUUUUUUUUGAAAAAAAUGUAACUUUCUUUAAACAACUUGCAGUUUUUUGAAAAAUUGCUGUUUCUUUAUUUAAAAAUGCAGUUUUCUAAAAACAAAUGCAUUUUUUGAUAAAAAAAAUACAGUUUUCUUUAAAAAAAUUGCAGCUUUUUUUGAAAAAAAUGAAGUUUUUUUUUUUAAAUUAUAGUUUUUGAAAAAGCUGCANNNNNNNNNNNNAGUUUUUUAAAAAAAUAUUUUUCACAAUUUUUUUUUUCAAAAAUUCAUGUUUUCUAUAAAAAUUAAAAAAUCUGCAUUUUCUUUUAAAAAAACGAAAAAUACUAUUUUUUAAAAAAUCUGAAAAUUUGAUUUAUGAUGUAAAUUUUUAGACAUUUAUAUUAAUAUAUUAAAUAACACACAAAAAAAUUAAAUGAGAUUGAUAAGAUGACGAUCAUGUCCUUAAUGAAUUACUUUUGAUCCAACGCUCNNNNNNNNNNNNNNNNNNNNNNNNNNNNNNNNNNNNNNNNNNNNNNNNNNNNNNNNNNNNNNNNNNNNNNNNNNNNNNNNNNNNNNNNNNNNNNNNNNNNNNNNNUAUAUAUAUAUAUAUAUAUAUAUGGUUAGGUUCAUGUGAGACGACCUAAUUUUGUGUGACCGUGAAACCCCUAAAAUUAUUGAUGCUUAGAUGGAGGUUUGAAGCCAAGACAUGGGAAAAUAAUUAAUACCAUCAAUGGUGUAUCAUUAUCUACCAAUCAAACAAACUAUCAAUUGUAUCAAUUAUCAAACAGAAACUGAGUUACAUAGAUGAGGGAACUGAGAAGUUAAUUCUUAAAUUCUAAAAGAGUGUAACUGGAUUCAAAUAAUGAGAUAAAGAUUUGAUGAAAACUUAUUCCUUUAUAUCAGUGAGUAUAGGGUUGAGGGCAAUUGCAAAAAGUAAAACUAAAAGCAUUCAGUUUUAAAAAAACAGAAAAUUUGAAAUUCUUAAACUAAAAUUACCUCUGAGAUGGAAGCUUGAGCUAGGUGAUGAACAACGACCAUUUCUCCAUCCACCGAUUGAAGUAGUUAGAACAAUUUGAACUCUUGUUUGUUGAAGCAUGAUUUUCGAAACCCACACAGCGUAUGCUUUUCUAUCUUUUUCCUCAUCAUCGGAAUCGUUGAUCCUCCUGUAACAUCCCAAAACUCAUACCAAUCUAGACUCCUCCAUGUCUCAAACUCAUAAAGUUAUCAACCUUAUCUCGUAUGAACCUCUCACCCUAUCUAAAGGACCUUAAGUCCUUACCUCCAGUCCCUUACCACCUCUUGACGGCCAUGAUCUGAAGUUGCAACUUCAAAUCUAGACUCCUCCAUGUCUCAAACUCAUAAAGUUAUCAACCUUAUCUCGUAUGAACCUCUCACCAUGCCCUAAACCUCAUUAUAGACUUGGUUUUAGUUUUCUAAGCCUUUAAUAUCUUGCAUGCACGUAAAGUUUGCAACUUUGCGUGGAAUUUGUGCCUUAGGAAGCUGGAUCUACAAUAUGGAGCUUUGGGUGGCUUAAAAACGUCUGGACAAAAAAUUGACUACAUGAACUCGACGAGUCGCAUAGUCAACUCGGCGAGUCGGAUGAAGAUUGCUCGUAUUUGAUUCUGCAUGAACUGGUGAGUCGGUAAGAGGAAUCGACGAGUCAGUUAGGGUUUUCCCCGACAUCUGGACACGCAAGGACUCAAUGACCUGGUUGGAAACUCGACAAGUCAAUUAGGGUUUUGGUGAUUUCUAAGUUCUUAAGGAACUCGACGGGUUGCUAGGUGUACAUGCUAGCUAGCAUAUGAUAUUUAUAUGCACAUGUUUGUUGGUUUGGGGGAUUGGGUUGAGGCAGGUCCCGCUUUGUGCUGUGGCCAAGAUACCCAGGGCGGAACAGAUAGUCCGGACUUCGGUACGAUGCAGGGGACAAGGUCCCAGUCAGUUUCCAAACUUUGGUCCAAUGCAGGGGGCAAGGCCCCAGUUAGUCCGGACCUCGGUCCGAUGCAGUGGGCAAGGCCCAAUAUGUGCUUUAUAUGUUAUUGUAUGGUAUGUGGUAGUUUGGGGGAGCUCACUAAGCUUCGUGCUUACGGUUUCAGUUUUUGGUUUCAGGUACCCAGUUUUCAAAAGAGGAGCUUGGAGAGGUUGCAGUGCACACACCAUAAUCAGUUAGCCUGGGAAUGUUUACUCUGAUAAUAAGAUCAUGUUUUGGAUUAAUACUCGGAAAUUAUGUUAUGACUAUGAUGCAGUUUUUAUAAAUAUGGUUUUAGUAUUGUUUUUAAAAGAAAUUUUUAGUACUGAUUUUUGGGUCGUUACAGGAGUGUUAGAAUGCUCAAAACCCAACAUGUUUAUCACGUAAAGUUGCAAACUUUACGUGCAUGCAAAGCUCUAAAGUCUAAAAAUGACAAAACCAAGCUUGUAAAGACGUCUCACACUUGAUGGAAGGCUCAUACUUGCCAAAGUUGAUAACUUUAUGGAUGUAAAGGCCAAAGGGAGUCCAGAUCUGAAGCUGCAACUUCAUAUCUUGGCUCAAACAUAAGAAACCUUUCCUAAAACCCACCCAAAAGAGAUUUAAGAUGAAAUGAGCCAAGGUAACAGCCUAAUACCUUUAAGAGGGUGUCAGUUGAAGUAGAUCUUUGCUUCCCAUGAGUUCCUUGCUUCAAUUUACUUGUUUCCCUAAGUGUUUCUUCACCAAUAUCCCUCUUCUAAGCUUUAACACACCAAAGAAACACACACACACACACACACACACAAUUUUAGGGUUUAAGGGUGCCAAGGAGCUGUAAACGGGAGGAUGGGGGAGACCAAUGAUCCUUUAAAUAGGGUGCAAUACCCCAAACUUUAGGGUUUCAUCUGCCAGCUCCUACUCGUCAAGUCCCUUCUUGGACUCGGUGAGUAGGUCACUAAAACUCGUGGACCAACCCAUUGUUACUCGACGAGUAGGGCAACCAAAUCGUCAAGUAGACCUUGAAAUCAAGAAAAUUCUUAUAUAAAAUCAAUACAUGAGAAUCUGGGCGUUACACCAAGUCUCUAACCUUCAGAUCCGAAUCAAUAUGAGGUUUAGAUGGAUAAAGUUUCCAACUUCACCAUUAACAAGGCUACUAACUUUCAAAAUCUAAACUUUAUGCACUUAAAGUGAAUAAAAUCUCAUAACACCAAAAACUAUAUAGAUAUAACAAAUGCAUCAUCAAGAUUCAAACUUUAUACGUCCAGAAGAAAUAUCAAGGUGAGAAAGGUUUGGAUCUACAAGCUCCAAUACAACUAACACUUAUCCAAUGAGAACCUUCUUCUCCAGGAUGCACCAAGAACACACCAAAGCACUUUAAAACACCUUUUUUCUCACAAGGCUCGAACCAAGGUUAGGGUUUUAAGGGAGAACGUUGAAGGGUUAGAGGAUGAGAACUAAAAGGGUUUGAGGGAGUUAAGGAGCUUAAAUAGGGCUUAAAACCCUCAAAUUAGGGUUUGACAUCUGAUCGCGUAUGCCCAACGUACGCUUGGUAUGCCCAGUGUACUAAGUUGGGUCUCCUCGAUUGACCAUGUCUAGUACGCCCAUCGUACACCAUGUAUACCCAACGUACUAGACUAAACUCAAACCUCCAUAUCUUCGAACGGUCAUAACUUCUUCGUUCUAACUCUGAUUCGACAAUCUUUAUAUCUACAAAAAAGUGUUGAAGAGCCCGACAAUAUUAUCUAAAUAUAUUGGACUAAAAACUUCUCGAACAAAAAUCCAUAUUUUAUGCAAGAAACCGACCUAUGACUUUUCCCUUUCUACCAUUCGGCCCAAAACACAAUUCAAGGGAUAAAUCUCUUAACUAUCAUUACCUUCUCCUACUAGGACUAAACAUUGCCUCCUUAAGGCCCAAAGCCUUACACAAUCGACUUCCGACCCACACCCCAUCAAUAGCAGGAAACAGGAUGUUAUAACUCUUGAACGCGUGUAUUUGUUUUAGGGUCUUGUCAAUGUUAUGAUAUGUUAAAGGAAAUACUGAACGAGGCGUGUCGAGUCAUUAGCCAGACGCAAAAAUAUAUUGGUCGUUUUGAAUGGUAAAGAAUUGGGAUUGUAUGAGGAUUUGCUAUAUUUGCAUGAUCGGUAAUUGUCGGCCGAGGUGAACUUAAGAGUUGAUGAAGGUAUUGUCCCUUGUGAGAUAUAUUUCUCAUGAUCAUACCUCAAUAUGAUUCAUUAAGGUAAUGUUGCCACCUUGUCAGGGUGUCAUUUUCCACUUGUGAGUUAUAUUGCUCAUAACCAUACACGUUCUCUUAUGCAUUAUCUCCAAAUUAUUUAUAUCAUAAUACAUCAUCUUUGUAUCCUAACUUAUACAUUAGAGAGUAUUGUCGGGAACAUCAAGAUACAUUAUUUGUUUUAUCUUUAGGUAUUACAUCCUACCAACCAAAUUGAUCUCAUUUCAUAAGCUUAAUGGAAACAAACUAGGGGUGUAACUCAGUCAAACAACUCAUGAGAUACAUGGAAUCGACUCAAACACUAUUUGGAAUCGACUGAGAUGAAGUCGGGUUUAGCUUGAGCUCUAGCUACUUGAGUAUGAUAUGAACUUGAGUAUUGGAAUACUCGAAUCGUGAAUGGCAAGCUUAAUUGAGAAAAAUUAUAAUUACACUUUUAAACUUGAUUUUAUUCAUAAUUGAAUAUAAUUGAGGCGAGUUGAAUCGAACUAACAAGCCUAAUAGAAAUUUUAUUGCAUUUUAAUGUAAUUUUUUUUAAUAGCUAAUGGAGUUGAGUCAAGUUAUGCUCAAAAGUAUUGAUUAUUUUACCAAGCUUGAGCUCGAGCCGUAAAACUAAGACUCGAGUCAAGUUGGAGUUGAGUUUCGAAGCUCUACAUUGACAUACAUAUAUACAUAUUAUCAACUAUCGUCAUAACCAAUAUUGAACCACUAAGACUGCCACAACCGUAUCGAAACUUGGUCUUCUACAAUCUCUAUGUUUGUGGUUGGUCCUCCUCGAUCACAAGUACUUGAAACUCUCAACCAAGAAAUAUAUUCAGACACAAAAAAAGAAAAAAAAAACAACAAAAGUUAAUAACUCAAAAGAGAAUAACAAAAUAUUAUCAUAUUUGAUAAGUAAUAUAAUAAUUAAAAAUAAAAAAUUGUUUUUUUCGGUAUAUAUUAUAAAAAGUUAAAAACUAAAAUAUUAAUUUUCUUCCAAUGUUCAUUUUUAUUUCCCUCCAAAACUAAUUUGUCCUAUUUGUCCCUCCCACCGAUUCCCACAUGUAAAUUUUCUAUUCCUAAAUGGAUUUUGCAUUCCCUCCAAAUAUCUAUACACACAUAACUCCAUCGCGUUUUUGAUUUUAGCCCAUCCUCCCACUAAUAUCCAUAAGUAGUCUAUUACAAAGUAAGAGAUGAAUAAAAAUGGGUAAAUACUAUCAAUUUGUCCUCUCUAUCAUAAAGAUGUGUAGCUUCAUGCAUCAGUUAGAAAAAGAUCGAAAGAGCAAGACUGGUUGGCUACUAUUAGGUAUUUCGUGUUUUUUAUUUUGAUUAUCUGCAAUUCGAAUUUAGAAGUAAAAAAAAUUGAAUAAAUUCACAUGACGAUAAAACCACGUCCGUUUUAAUUUUGUUAAAUUAGUCUUAGAUUUUGAAUUUCUCUGUUUUGUUUGGUUUUGUUUUGUUUUUUUUACAAACAUAUCACUUAUUGUUUCCAUCGUUGUUAUAUAUGUGUCUGCAACUGUGUGUUUAUAAUCUUACUUUAGAUUUCACAUGGAUUUAUUGAAAUGUAUAAAUGAUUUCAACUGCAUUCAAAAUUAUAAAUAUUGUUUUGGGGAUGGGUGGUUAUAAAUGAUAUUGUGAAAUAGAUAAUUAUAAAAUUUUGAAUUUUGAGGUUCAGGAACUUUCUAAUUAUUAAAUUAUUUGAUUUUUGAAUGUUUGCCUUUAUAUGAAUUUCUAACAUGAUUAUUGAAUUUUUGCCAUGCUAGAAAUCACUUCGUACAUUUGACUUGAUUCUGCAAGUUUGAUUACACGCUUGAAAUUUGAUUAUUGAAACACAUAUUUGAAUUUCCUUUUAAUACUUUUACAAGCAUAAUAGUGUAAAGUGUGUAAUUGGAUGAAAUGAAAUUAAGGAUUGUCAAAAUGUAUGUUUUAUCGUCUUAUACUAUUUGUUUAUAUUUUAUAGUUUAAAUACGAGUAACACUACUUAGUUUUGUAUUUUUUUUUUUUUGUUGUUGGUAUCUUCAAAAACAGUUCAUACCAGAAGACAUUGGGCUAGCUGAGCUCUUAGACAAAUAAAAGAUAACUUUGAAGUCUCAUUAAAGCUUUUAGGUUUUACUACUUUGGUGUGAAUGACAUAAAUACCCCCAAUUCUAUUUGUGCAAAAAAAUAUAAUGCCUUUACAAUCAUACAUGGCUUAGGUGUUUUUAUUAAUGUAGUCCACUAAUCAUAAUUUUUAUUGCAUGUUAUAGUUUUUUCUUUUAUAGGUUUUGUCAAGGAAAAUUGAAAACGGAUCUUCGGAGCGCAAAUUUACCCAUUAAUGUUUUUGACUAAUUUUACGUUCAUUCUAAGUUUUAACUAUGUCAAUUAUUGUUUCGUUGAAAUAAAUUGUAAAAAUAAUCUUAUUGCUCUUCAAUGUAAAAGUUUGUAUUUUUGUAUUUGUCAAUAUAUAAUCGAUCCAAAUUUGAAACUAAUGAUUUCUUUAACAAGUUUAACUAAAAACUCAAGAGGCUAGAUAGAGUUUGACCUUCUAGUUACUCUUUGAAGCUGCUUCAAAGCGUAUCAAAUUGAUUGACUUGAUUACACACUUAGACCAACAAUUAUGAUGUUUCCGUUAUUCUUGUAAAAAAUCCCGGUUGUUAAAAAAUGGGUCCUAUGACACACUGAUAUGAUAUGUGCCAUACACAUAGAACUCGGUUGUAAGUUAAAAUCCGGGAUCUAUUAUUAUAUAGCUAAAAGGCCCGGUUUUUAAAAUGAGUCCGGGGUAUUUAAGCAUAGCAUAUGACCCGGAUUUUGUUUUAAGUCGGGUCUUAUAACAAUCCCCAUUAUAAAGCCCGGUUUUUACAUAAUAUAACCCGUUUAUUUAAGUAACCGGGUCCUAUUAAGCGAGUUCUAUGUACCUUUUUGUAGUAUCUGUUAACGAGUGAUUUUUUCAAAUAAAAGACAUAGAUUCAAGUCUACCUAGAAAACACUAAAACACAAUUUUAUCAUAAUUGUAUCUUUUGUAGGUGCCAUCAUAUUAAAAAAGCAAUAGUUUCAAACUACAAUUAAGGUGUGCUUUUGAGACUAAAACACUACAAAAUUUUAUAGCGGAGAGGUCUCAAUUUUUUAAAUCCUACAACCUUCAAUCUUGAGGUGGUAUGAGUUAAAAUAAAACAAACAAUAGCUCCGAAAACCCCAAAUCGACCACUAGAACGUUGGGACAACGACCUCAAAGCCCUUCCUUUUUUGUUUUUUCCACAUUGAAGAUUGAGGAAUCUGCAACUCAUUAGCCAAAGAAAACACACUAAAAGUUAUAUAACUUUAUUCUGCAAAUGUAAAAGCAUUCACCUAGUAGUUUUUAUAAAAUAUAACUUUAACAUACCAGCUAAAGAAUUAUGAAAAAUAUUCCUUUCAUUAUUUUUUUUUCUAAAAAAUAUACAAAAACGUUGGUGUAACUAGAUGUUUUUUUUUUUAUAAAUAAAAUCGAAUUAUUAAUUUUUUUUGAAGCAAUUAACAGAUGGGAAUGCCAUCAUUCAUUCAUUUGUUGUAAUUUAGAUUUUAGUUCGAUAGUUAAAAUUCCACAAAAAAAUAUUCGUGGAAUUAAAUUAAGUGGAGAUGUUCAUUUUGAAAAUAAAUGAAAGAAAUUAUCCGAUAAAAUCAUAAAGUCCUCAAAGGGGUCGGCAGACACUUGUCAGAAACCCUUCAAUCUCGACAUUUUGGGUUAUACUCAGCCACAAGAUUGUUGACUUUUUGGAGUCCACUAGCAUAAUUAAAGUACAGCUCAUUACAAUUUCUCCACUUUCGCCACAACGUGUCCAAUCCACCAUGCAAAACUACUAUAAAUACGUAAAUAAUCUUUACGCUAAUAUCACAAUUUCAUUAAUGAUUAAACCUCGACAUUCAUACCAAGUCAUAUCGUAUACACACACAUAUUGAUUAUAGUACACUUCUUCCAACCAUCCAUGAAGUUCCUACUACUACUUCUAGCUUUGCUUCUUGCUUCUUCAGCCAUUUUAGGUGCACAGGGCCGAGUUGCCCGCAAGAAUUUAGGUAUAGAUUUUGGUGGCGUAGGGGUUGGUAUCGGGACAGGUGUUGGCAUCGGAGGCAGUGGAAGCGGUUCUGGAGCAGGGGCUGGAUCUGGAUCUGGUUCGAGAUCUUCCUCCUCCUCCUCUUCAAGCUCCUCUAGCUCAAGCACUAGUGGCAAUGGAGGAGGUGAUUCUGAAGCAGGGUCAUCUGCAGGGUCAUCUGCAGGAUCAUCUGCAGGCUCCCAUGCUGGUUCAGGACACCGAGGUGGCGAUUAAGUAAGGAAGUAUAUGAAACGUAAUCGUAUUUGUAACUAGUUAUAUCUGAAUAAAUGAAUGGAAAUACUAGCCAUUUGUACUUGAAAGGAGUUGUAUCUUCUUUUUAUGUAAGAGUUAAGUGGUAAUGUUGUAUACAUAGUUUGUAUCUUUUUUCGAGAUUGAAUGAACAGUUUUGAAUUUGACCAAUUGAGCACUUUACAUUUCAACAAAUAAAAGAAUAUAUAUAAAAUUUAACAAUAUUCAUCAAUUCUUCACAAGAUGGGUUUUAGGAGGUAAAAAGGAUAAAUAUGUUAAGGAUUGAUGUAUAACACAUUAAGCUAUAUUUUGUUUGACAUAACCCAUUAACUUAUAUAUAUAUUUUUUACUUAAUUACUCAUUAAAUCAUAUUGUCUAGAUUAAGUAAGAAACGGAAACAACCGUUUAUAGUUGUAUACUUGUAUGUAUUAAGUGACUAGUUUAUAACCCAUGAGAACCAUAACUAUUAAAUUAAUUAAAUUUUCAUAUUAAAAAUUAAAAUUAUUAAUCAAUUAUUUUAAAUAAAUUAUUACUUAAGAGAUAUUUUUUAGUUAUAUAAAUUACUAGGUAUGAGACCCAUUUAUUACAUGAGUUUAUUUAAAAAAAAUAAAUAUGAAAUUUUAAUAAUUUGAGAAGUUUGAAUUUAUAAGGAAAAUAAGAAAAAUUUUAAAUUGUUAAAAUUAAAGAGGAUUUAAUACAUUGAAUACAUUAUAUAUAUAAAUUAUUUCUAAUAAAUACCUUACAUAUUAAAUUUGGAAUUUUAAUUUAACAAAAUAAAAUGACAAAUGAAAAAUAGAAAAUACCAUGUGUCCAAAUGAAGAAGAAGAGGACAUGUGACAAAAAGAUUUUGAUUUAUUAAGGAUGAUCAUUGCUGAUUUAAAUAAAUAUGUGAAGUUAUAUCACUUUAUAAUCUAUAUUAAUUUUAUUUUAUUUUUAACGUAAUGUUAUUAAUUUAAUAUAAUUAUAAUGAAAAAAUUUAAAAUCUAAAACUUAAAAUAGAGAAUCAAUAAUUAAUUUAAUGUAAUUAGAGUGAAAAUUUUAAAAUUUGAAAUUAAAAAUUGAUAAUUAAUAUAUUGACAAAUGACAUGAUCGAUUAUAUAUAGUUAUUAAUGAGGAAUUCUAAUAAUAUGACACUUGUCAAUAGAAGAGCAAAUUUAUUUAUUUAUUAGAAUUAGAAUAGGGAGAUUUACCUUAUUACAUGCACUAAGGUCUCAUUUGAUAGUUUCUGUCUGAUAAAGUGUUGUCUGGUAAAGUGUUGUCUGGGAAAGUUUUCUGACUGGGAAAGAAACCAUGCUGUUUGAUUGACCGUGUUGAAUAAUGAAAAAAAAGUAAUAAUUCAAUAAAAAAAUAAAUUUAAAAAAAGUUAUUUAAAAAAAAUUAAUAAUCCAAUAAAGAAAGAAAGAGGCAGGGUUUGGUUUAUAAUUGUCUUUCCAGCCCAUUUAGCCAGAAAGAUAUGGUUUUGGGGCUUUCUGGGAAAGACAUAUCUUACCGGGAAAGACCACUUCUUUUGUGUAAAUCAAACAAUCUUUCCGGUCCAUUAAGCUAGAAAGAUCUGUUUAGACCUGGAAAGAUGCGUAUCAAACGAGGCCUAAGUUAGAAAGAAACUACCCUCUUGACUUAGUGCCACAUAUUUGUAACCAUAGGAAAAAUAUUAUGGAAAUACACUAAAACAAAUAAAAUAAAAGACUGUUGAGGUUUAUGUUUAACAGUAUUUUUAACACAAGUUCGCUUGUAACUAGACGUUUGUUUCUAGGGAUACAAGAACUAGAAGCGGUUCAUCUAGGCCGCCCGAACCUAAGAAAAUCUAGUUACGACACUCAAUAAUUGAAGACAAAUUAAACUUUAAGGUUGUAAUUGGCGAGUGUUUAAUUUGGUGAUUUAAUAAGGUUUUUAAAACUCAAAUUUCGGUUAUGAAAAAUAAAAUAUUUGGUGAAAAGCUCCUGAACUUUUGCUGGUCGACCAAUUGUGCAUGCGUACACAUAUGAUUGACAAUUACACACAAGUUUAAUGAACCCAAACUAAUUCGGUUUGCAUUAACAAGGCUACUAAACUUUUUUACUUAUAAUCUUAUAUAUCCAUUUCAUUCCAUCAUCCCAGUUAUGUUGACCGACUAAAAACAUACUUAACCUCGCUUCUUAAUUAUUUCAACUAAUUAAUUCACUUUAAGAAUUAAUUUCUUAUAGAUUUUAAUUGUGUUUUGGGCGCAUAAUAUACCAAAAUGAAUGUAUAUAUGAACACCGAAGAGAACAUAGACAUAUAAACAUUUGUCAAUUUUAAAUAAGUUUAUGGUUCGAAAAUCGUGUUUAAACAUAUUAUAAAACCAUUUUUGAAAAUGAGAUAAACCUGUGUUUCCAAUAGCUAGUAACUUCUUUAAGUAAAUAGAAAAAAAAAAGGAUAAUAUAUAUAGACCUUCGAUUAUGAGGCAAAACACCGCUUUAAAACAAGCAUAUUUGUUAAACUGAAUCAGUUACACUGAAGUUUAAUUGUUUAAUAUUGUUGUCGAUAAAAAAUUCAAAGUGUGAAGAUACAACCAUACGGAAAGGGUGUUUGAUUAAUAAAGUAUAAUUGUCUCUAUAAGAAAAAACACCAACGAAAAUAGAAAUAUUCUGACGCCUGUUUUCUCGAGGUGAAUUACAUAAUUUUGAUCAUUAAUUUUAUACUAUCAGGUGAUGUUAACUUAAUUAGUUAAUCCACGUGUACACAGUUACAACUUGUUAGAACACUCAUUAGCCUAAUUAGUUAAUAAGUCUCUAUACAUACAUACAUAUAUAUAGUUUAAUCCUCUCAUUUGGUUUGUAACUUUUUCUUCAAUGAAAUGAAUGAAGUUUCUCCCUUUCUCUCUGUAAACUCAAACAUGGUAUCAUAGCGAUGAUCCUUCCUUUCUUUGAUUCUUUCAUUUCUUCAUUUCUUCAAUUAUGUCUCAGUGAUCAGAUGCUGGCAAUUCUUCUGUUCAUGAUAAUUCAAAUAUCCCUUAUUAUUUCCUUGGAGCAUCAGAUAAUCCAAGUUGGAUUCUAGUCUCAAAUGUCUUUAAUGGAAUCGGAUUCAUGGCCUGGGAACGCUAGAUGACAAUCGCUUUAUCAGCCAAAAACAAAUAUGUACACGUGGAUUAACUAAUUAAUAAGUUAACACAUGAUCACUUUCAAAACGUACAUCUAACACCAGCAUAUAUGGCCGAAACUUAGCUAAAAGAUAACUUAAAUAUUUUGAACUAUACUAUAUCAUGGUUUUGAAUUACACAAUAAUUAACGAACGACAAGAGUUCUAAAAAAUGCCCCAUUUACAGAAUUCCAUAUCAUCGACAAACACUUAAAAACGAGUUUUUUUUUUCCUUUUUUUUUUCCAGAUAAUCUCUACCGCAUUUUGAGGUCAGCUGGCGGGAGAUCCUUAUCUUCUUCGUAUUAACCACAUCUUAUUUAGAAUUUUGGACGGUGAUUGGUGUGGAUUUUAUAUUUUUUUAGGUGUAACUAAAUAAUUGGAGAGUUCCACUAUCAUUUAAAGUGCAAUUGAUCGUGGGUUGAGCAACAAUAAUGCCAAUCAUGGUAACUUUGGCCACUAUACGAGUAUCCACUAGCAUGCUCGACCCAUUUUCAGCCACAAUUCUAUGCUUCUUUCACACUUCACCGAGUUUUUAGGCGAGAAAACAUAAGCAAAUACUCCUAAAAAAGAACAAAAAGCGGUGGGGACCAAAAAAUUGUCAUUCACCAGUUUUCAACACCGAAAUACCAAUGUUAAUAAUCGAUCCAUGUGUCCACCACUUUCACUUCGUUUUUAGUUAUUCACCCACCCUCUACACCUAUAAGUAGACCUAUGGUUUCGGAGCAAUCACCAAACAAUAAGCUAAACAUUUCUUUUGAUAAAUAAAGGCUUAAGGUAUAUGGCGAAAAUGAAGGCAAUGAGCCUCGCUAGCUUGCUAGUACUUUCAACUUUAGUUAUGGUGUCAGAGAGUCGGGUGGCGAGAAAGGACUUGGGUUUGGAUUUGGGUGGAGUAGGUAUAGGUAUAGGUACUGGAAUCGGUAUUGGACUCGGAGGAGGUGGUUCAGGGUCUGGGUCUGGUGCAGGUGCAGGAAGCUCUGGUUCUAGCUCAUCUUCCAGCUCCUCGAGCUCUAGUUCUUCCGGAGGAGGAGGGGGAGGAGCAGGCUCAGAAGCUGGCUCCUCUGCUGGUUCUCAUGCUGGAUCUGGUUCAGGAGGCCGGGGAGGCGGAGGUGGCGGCGGCGGCGGUGGUGGUGGAGGUGGAGGUGGAGGCGGUGGACGUGGAGGAGGGUCUGGUGAGGGAAGUGGCUAUGGGUCUGGGUCUGGGUCUGGGCAUGGGCGUGGAGGUGGUGGAGAUGAUCGCAAAUAAGAAAAUACGUACUAAUUAUCUUUUUCUUGGAAGAUUUAUGAAUAAGUUAUGCAUGCAUGCAUGCAUUAAUUAAAAUGGUUACUUGUGUAUUAAGUCGCUUUUAGGUUAUGAUGAACAGUGCAUUUGUUGGAAUGCUUUUAGUUUAACAACAAAUUGUGGUUCGUAGUUCAUGAUUGUACUGCAUGCCAUUAUAAUGUAAUAUCCUGUUUUCUUCUUUGGCAAAUGAUCAGGUUGCUUUCCAGUCAUCCAUAAAAUUAUAGUAUAAUUAAUUUGUGUUAACCUCGUUUUUUACGAAAGGUAAAACUUAGUUCUAAAUAGUAUCAUGCCACACCCAACUUAAAGUCAUCAUGUUGAUGUUGUGAGAGUUAUAUCAAUAAAAAGCCAAAAGCCAAUCAUAAACACUACUAGAAAACCAUAUGGUUUAGCUAUAAAAAAUAGCCAGAGCCGGUUUAAAUAUAUAUGGGCUGGGGUAAAAAAACAAAAAAACCUCUAAAAAAUAAAUAUAAUAAAGAAUCAAAAAAAUAUCAAUUACUCUUCAAUAUAGACGUGUUUAAUUAGAAAUAACAAUCAAACUAAAUUGUUUAUCUUUUGAGUUAAUUUGGGUUCCAACCAACUUUGAACCCUAAAAAUGAUUUAGGUAAUAUAUAUAUACACACUACAUAGCUCAUAAAUUUCGGGUCAUUUGGAGUCGUGGGCCCUGGGCGGUCGCCCGGGUUGCCCACCGUCGGCCCUGAAAAUAGCUAUGGAAAAUUUCCGUAGGUAGUUACCUAUAUAAUAUCAACGGAAUGGGAUGCCCUAAUUUAGUAACAGAAUAACACACGUCAUGAAGUCCAAUAAUAAGAAGUUAAAUAACCCGGUUUCACAACCCUUAUUGGGUUUGGUUCGUCGGAAUUGAAUGGAAUUCGGGGGAAAAGGAAUCCAAUUCCUUUGGAUUCCGGCGUUUGGUUCAACAUUAAGGAAAGGAAAAUGAUUCCUAAAUGAGCAAACAUUCCAUCAAAUGGAGGAAAAUACUUUCCUUCAAAGAAAGGAGGGAAUUAAUUCCAUACCAUCUAGGAAAGUGAAAAGUACAAUUAUACCCUUUUAAUUUCACAAAAUCAUUCUAACCCUAUCUCACGUAUUCUCCAUCUCUACGUCAAAAUCAGAUUGCAACCGACUUCAACACAACACUCGUCUUCUACAUCUCGUCUUCUGCCAGGUAAAUCUCUUUCUUACUCUCGAUCUCGCUGUCUCUCACUCUCGUUCUCUUUUCUUUAUCCAUCUCUUAAUUUCUUGAGAAAUCUCGAUUUGGAUCAUGUAAAACAGAAAACAUGAUGGUUUAUACCUGACAGAACUGAUUUAUUUUGUAUUCACAACAACAUCUGUCAAAAUUGACUGUGAUGUUUUAGAUCUAUUUGCUGGAAAGAGACGCACCAUAACACAUACAACCUAUUUUUUCUUUUGAACUAUUUUUUGACAUAUAUGUUUUUUGUUUGAAUCUAUUUUAAAUCUUCUGGUAAGUAAAUAUGUUGAUCCUCACCAUCAUUUAUGAUUUGCAGUUAUAGCUUAAGUACUCCCUAGAUCCUAUGUAUCAUCAAUAUUUCAACAUUGUGGAAGAAAACAUUGGUGUUCUAGGUUGUUGAACAUUCAAAUGUUGCAGGGAUGGGAGUUCAAUGGUUUAUUUGUAUUAAAUUGAAGACAAUUACUUCAUAAUAUUUUCAUGGAGAUUAGAUAUAAUGAUAGAAAGAUAGAUGUUAAAAUGGCAAAUUGUGUUACUUUCAUGUUAUUGAAGACCUAAUACUGAUGAUGGUUUGUUUAAUGCUUUUUGGAUCGUAAUUUUCAUUGAAGCUGCUUGAUUGUUUUAUGCAAAUUAGAAUAAAAUUUGUGAAGUCUCGAAACUAGACUUACAUGUGUAAAAGAACAUGGAUUUUUAGAUAUCUAAAUAUGUAUAUAUGAAAUGUUAAUUGGCAAGUAAUGACAAAAAAAAGUAUAAACACAAAAAAACAUAAUUUUUGACAGUGUAAUAAAAAAUGACAAUUCUGUCAUUUUAACUAAAUUCCAAUUCCAUUUCCUUGAACCAAAUAGAAUCUGAAAUUAAUUCCAAUUCCAUUUCCUGCCAACCAAACAACAUAUGGAAUUGGAUUCAAAUUCCUAACAGAUUCCUUUUCCAAUUCCAAUUCAAAUUCCUUCAGCAACAUUCUGCGAACCAAACAACACAUAAAUGUUCCAUUUUCUUUUAGAGAACACAAGAUCUAGAUUUGAAAAUAUAAUAGAAACUUUUUGUUAUUUGUAAGUUCCACAUUCUUUUAUAGUAACCGAUUCCCUUUUAAGCAAAAGUUUCGGUUCUAGUAACCGAAACCUCGAAAUAAGCAUAAAUAUUCAUAUUUAUUUAUACAUAAUAGCUACAUACUUCCAUGUGUUUCAUAUGACAAUAAUUUGCUUUAUUUUUUUUAAACAUAAUACGAUUGUACUUUAAUUUCCAUACACAUAACAACACUAUAAUUUCAAUUAUACAUAUAAUGCUAUUAUACUUACAUUUCAUAGUUGGGUCUUUUAUCAAUGGAUAGAUUUCUGAAAUCAAUGUUAUUCUUUAUAAGGAUUUCGUCUAAAUUUUUUAUAAUAGACAUUGUGUUGUAAAUUAAGGAUGGUGACUAUAAUAAUUACUCUGAAUGUUGAUUAAAAUUGUUGGAUAACUAUAAAAUUAGCUAAAGUAAUUACAUGUGGUUAUCAAAAGUUAUGAUUAGCCAUCUAGAUCUAGAGUGUUAAUGAUAGGGAGCUGUUAUUAAUAUCUCUGUUUUUAUCUUCAUACUCCUGCAAUUAUUACUUUUUAGGUAUUUGAUUUUUUUCAAUUACAUUUUUGUAGAAUUUCAUAGUUAUUAACCAAUAACUAAACAAUGUUACAUAGAAGACAGUGUAUUACAUAGAAGACAGCGCACUGUGUAAUUUAAAUCUUUUUUUAUGGAAGACUGCACCUUCAUCUAUGUGAAGUGUGUUCAAUUUUUCAUAAAUUAAAACAAUUUAUAAACUACAACCAACAACAACCAACAAUUACAUAGUAAAUUGAAGAACAUUUUUUUUCAGUUAAUCAAACAAUAAUACAUGAUACAUGUAUAAUAUAAACAAGUAAAAUAAAAAUGAUUACGUAAUAAUCACAAAUAAUAAACAAAUCUGUUAAAAUCUAAUAACUUUCGGGAAACAUUUGUUGGAUUAGUGUCUAAGUCCAUAACUAUUUUGGUAUGUACUUGACCCGAUUGUGCAUGAUCAUUUUGGGUUGCCUUCACACUGGUGACUACACAAGAUGAUUGUUGUGGAGAGAGGUUGGUUUAUCGUUAAGAAUAAUAAAUUAGGGUAUAAAUAUGAUUUUUUAAUAUAUUAUAUGAAUAAUAUAUUAAUUUGGAAUCAUAUUAUUAAUUAGUAUUUAAUCAGAAAUUAAUUUAGAAUUAAUUUUGGGAUUAAAGGAACUGACUGAAAGUGCAGGGGCUAUUUUGUAAUUAUUCAAUAGUUGAGGCUUUGGGCCAUUGGAUCACCUUUAUUAAGGCUUAAACGAAAAUCCUAGAAGGAUCUAGGAGUUUUCGUCCAAAGGCUUAAGGAAAGGAGUCCAUGGACUUGCUUAGGCCAUAAGCUAAGGGAUUAGGGUUUACACAUUGAAACCCUAGUUAGCCUUAAGUAUAAAUAGCACCCUAAGGCACUAAGAUUUCGUCCAAGCCUUGGUAAACCCUAAAAGGGACAAAAUCUAGGGUAAGAUACCCUUCUCUCCUCUCUCAUAUAUUCAUCCUUUCACCUAGUGUGUUUGUGAGCCAUUAGAGGUACUACACUUGUGGUACUUGCUUUCAAGAGCUAAGGAAAUUCAAGGAACUAGUUGUUAUUACUAUAUAACAACAAAAGGUAUGUAUUCUAUUCUUCUAUGUGGAUUUCGAAAAUAGUACUAGCAUGCCAGGUUUCUUUUUAUGUUCAUAAAGUUGUAUAAGUAAUAGUGAAAACAUAGGUCCAACUCUAGGGUUACAUGCACACAUAUGAUUAUUUGUAUAAACCCAUCAACAUUAUCUUCAACCACCGCCGACGAUAUACUGCCACCAUUAACAUUGCCGACGUUGCCGGAGAAGAGAGGAGGAACGUGAAAAAGAAAAUAGCGACUGAAAGAACGAGAGAAAGAUAAGUCUGAAACGUCGCCGGAAACCGCUUGAAGCGUGAAACCUCGCCGAAAAUAGUCUGAAACGUCACCAGGACCACCUGAAGUUGACGGAAUCGCUGCCUCCCUCUUACUUGGCGGUUGAAUCGUCACCUGAACGACUGCCAUCACCGUGGGACAAAGAACGAAAGGAAGAGAAGUUAAAAGAAUCUCGCCGGAAAUCGCCUGAAGUCACCGGAUAUCACUGAAGUCGAAGGAAUCACCACGUAUAUUUCAUCUAGAGGUUGAAUCGUCACCUAAACCAUUGCAAUCAUCGUCGGACAAAGAAUAGGAGAAAGAGAUGCUCAAAAAAACCUUGUCGGAAAUCGCAUGAUAUCACCGGAAAACGCUAGAAGUCACGCAGUUUUGGUUACUUCUCUGGCUGAUUUUUUUGCUAGGGUUAAAAGAAAAAGUAAGCAGUUUAUAUCUUAUAAUUUUACGUUUACAACCUAUCUUUUUAGAAGAUAUUUCAAUUUCUACCCCAUUAAAUGUAUACUUUUAAUAAUUGGUGCUAUAUUUAUUUAUGCAACUCAAUAUGUAAAACAUGCGAUUCAAUAUAUCGUUUAAAACUUGAUAUCACACUAUAAGACUUGUAUGCAAUUGUUUAUUAUAUAAACAAAUCGUUUAAUAUAAACAAAUUACUAUCGUUGUAACAUAUAUUUAUAAUAGUGUUUUUAAAACAUUAAAUUUUAUAAUAUUGUUUUUUAAAACAUUAAAUUUUAUAAUAGUCUUUUAUAGUUGUUACAUAUAUUUAUUUAUUUUAACCAAAAUCUAUUUACAUUUUUAUCAAAAAAUUGUUUAAUAUAAUUUAUGUAAAUUUUAAAUAUUGUACAUAAAUUACAUAGUUUUUCAAUAGAUUACAUAAAAUUUAAAAAUUGUAUCUAUUUAAUUUUCGUUAAUAUAUUUUUUUAAAAUUUAAAAAUAUACAUUAUUUGAUGUUUUUUUUGUAUAUAGAGAUGUUUAAGUUAUUUGGAAUCAACAUAUUUGCUCGAGAUGAAGAUUCUUCUACCAAAAAGUCGGCAUUUUCCACCAAACAUGUCACAUACUUAUACUACUUUAUAACAUUUUAUAGUUUUCAUAUAAACUGAAACACGUAAAAUUCAAUUUUAGAUGUUCAAGUCUCGUGAGGAAUUGUUUGAGUGGACACAAAACAAAACACGCUCUCUAGGAUAUGUCGUUGUCAACAAAAGAUCAAAAGCAUAUGUCAACGGCUUCAUGUAUAAAGUCGUACUUAUGUGUGAUCGUGGGGUUGAAUAUAAAGCUACUAAUACGAUUAGAGCAUCUGGAACCAGAAAGAGUAAUUGUAAAUUUAAACUGGAAGGAAAGUAUUCAAAAGAAGAUAAUAAAUGGCCAUUGAGGUGAUAUGUGAUGAUCAUAAUCAUCCACCUGCACAACAUAUGGAGGGUCAUCCGUUCGUAAGACAAUUAUCUGUUGACGAUAUUCGGUUGGUGGAAGAUCUAACAAGAAAAAACUUGCCGCCACGUGAUAUUUUGUCAACCUUGAAGGGGAAAAACGAAAAUAAUGUAUCAGUAAUUCAAACGAUAUAUAACGCACCACAAAAGAUUCUCAAGUAGGAAAAACUCCAAUGUAGGUUCUUAUGUCCAUUUUGCACGCCAACAAUUAUUUAUAUGAGCUUGCUACAGGCGAUUCAAAUGAGUUGGAGAAUUUGUUUUUCGUUCAUCCAACGUCUUGGAAGAUAUGACAUGCAUUUCCACAUGUGUCGAUGAUAGAUGCCACUUACAAAACACACAAAUAUAAUAAGCCGCUUGUAGAAAUUGUUGGUGCGACCUCAAUUUGAAAGACAUUCUCUGUAGGUUUUGCAUUUAUACGUAUAGAAAAGGAGGCCAACUAUACUUAGGUGUUAAACUGUGUAAAGUCAAUACUUGGUAAGUGUAUGUACCCACUUGUAAUAAUCACAGACAGAGAGUUGACACUCAUCAAUGUAUGUGAAACACUGUUUCCGGAUGUGGCACGGUUACUUUGUAGAUAACAUAUUGAGCAGAACAUUUUAAAAAUCUCCAGCAAGAUUAUCACAUUGGAUGAAGACCGUAAAUCUUUUAGAAUACUAUGGAGAUUACUAGUUGAGUCUCCAACAUUGACGGCAUACACGGAAAACUACGAACGACUACAAAUCAAUGUUGAUAAAUUAUCCACGUAAGCUUGUUUAUUAACUAUAUUUCUAAAUCAUAACCUUCAUCUUACUGUUUAUGUACUAAUUUGUUAAUUUAUUUUACUUCACAGGUGUUAUGAGAUACAUAGAUGAUACAUGGUUAAACAAGUAAAAGGAAAUGUUUGUGUCUGUUUGGGUUGAUCAACAUCUUAAUUUUGGAAACAACACGACCAAUAGAGCCGAGAGUCAACAUUCCAAGUUAAAGAAAAUUUUAAACUCUUCAAAUUCUAAUCUUGAUAAAUUUGUUCAACGGAUUAAUAAAUUCAUGCAAUCACAACUUACUUCGAUUAACAAAAGCUUUGAAAAUAGCUUGAUUGUUCCCUAUAAUCACCACAACUUGUCGUGUUUCCAAUUGCUGCGAGGCCAUGUUUCAAACUAAACUUUAGAUAUAAUAUUAGGAGAGAUCCAAAGGUUGGGUGAUUUAAUGUUAGACUCCUCAAACUGUGGUUGCAAACUUCAUAACAGUUGUGGGUUCCCAUGUGCUUGCAUGCUUUCUUUCUACUCGAUUUCAGGUUAGUAUGUUCAAGUAGAACAUACAAAUAGAUUUUUAAAUAUUAGAUAAAUAAUUAUUUUAUAUUUCAAUGUAGGUGAAAAUAUACCCUUGGAUUCAACAUAUAUCUUUUGAAGGAAGUUUGAUAUUUCAGAUACGACGUCUGUAUGUGGUGGAUAAAUUUAAAGAAAACUUCAACAAACAAUCAAAAGCUAGGAAAAUGUUUUAUAGGAUAAAGCUAGAAGAGAUAUAUGACCUACGAUUCAAAAAACACAGGUGGAGGACCAAGUGUGAAGAAACAACAGAAAAAGAAAGCCGAUCCUCCAAAUCAUGCUCCUCGUAGAUGCAACUUAUCAACCACGUCAAGGUUUAAUGUGGUGAAUUUAAAUAAAGAACGUGAAAGACAUAGCUUUUCGUGUGGGAUUGACUUAAAUGAUGAACCCCAAAGGCAUAGAUUUUCGUGUGGGAUUGACAUAAAUGAUGAACCCCAAAAGCAUUAUCCAUUCCAAAUGAAUGGUAUUCGAGGUAUAUUUCAUGAUUACAUCGAUGAUAUACAUGAUGUAGAAGGUGAUGGAAAUUGUGGGUUUCGAGCAGUAGCUAUUUGUUUGGGGUAUAUUGAAGACCAAUGGCUUUGUAUUCGAAAACAAUUGAUUGAAGAGUUAGAGAGUCAAUAUUACGCAUACCAUACAGUUUUUACUGACGGGUUCAAUGAGGUAUACCGGUCAUUACAUUGGUUUGAGUCACAUGCACCUUUCCGACGACAUUGGUUGCAUAUGCCUUUGACUAGUUACUUGAUUGCCAACAAGUUUGGCAUGAUCGUUCAUUGUUUAAGCCACAAACAAUCUAUGCCAUGCUUCCCUCUUUGAAUGUUAGGUCAUAACUUAGUGGUUUAGCUAGGUUUCUUUAUGUAUAAGUCUUGGUAGGGUUUUGGUCUUGGUGUUUGGGUGUUUGCGGCCGUGUAGGUGUUCACGGCCGUGAACCUUGUUUAUGGUUGGUCUGUUCCUAUAUAUAGGAGUCUGUCAGAGUGUUGUCAGUGACGUUGCUGAGAGUUGUUCACGUUUAUGUGUGUGAUCAAGGUGUACCUGGCGUUUUUAUGCUAUAAAUGUGUGCAUUGCUUGAUCAAUCCUUUUCUCUACUACAUUCUUGUUUGUUUGAUUGAUUACUUGUUUGAUCAUCGGUUUGGAUCCGUGGAUUUGGGACUCUACAAAAUAUAUAUUUUAGUUUAAAUUUUUAGAUUUUAUUUUAUUUUUUAAGUCUUCAAAAUGUAUUUUUUUUAAAUAAAUUAUGGUAUUGGGCUUGGAUUUGAAGCUCAUUGGUUUGUAGCCCACUAGACUUGGACCGGGUAGGGUCCAUAUAUAUAAAUUGGAGUUGGCGGCCAUUCACCCUUUCACUCUCACUUUCAGUAUAUGCCCGUGAACACUUCACCGAUUCUCUCUCACUGUCGAUCUUUGAUUCAUCAUUUUUAGUGAAAUUGUUUGUUUCCUCACACAGGUAUGCUUAUGGCGAACCCUACAAAGAUAUUUUGCAUGCAAAUCGACUAUGAAUCGAGGGCUUAAUCAAAGAAAAACCAUUGUUCGGCGUUCAAGGCCCUUUGAAGGGUUUACGACUAUUGAAGGGUUCACGACCGUGAACCCGUUUACGGCCAUGAACCCCUUUCUAACCGUGAAUUCCAAUUUUUGGACAUGAACAUUAUUUUUCCAACACUCAAUCAUCAAUUAAAGCCUAAUUAAAUUGUUUAAUGAGUAAAACCUUAAUUUUAAUUGUUUGAAUCGAUGGUUUUCUCACUUGGCUUGGUUAAGUGCAGAUUAAAGAAAUGGCUUCUUUGAAGAUUGCUGAAAACCACGAUGUUGCUAUUUUUCUUUUGGAUCCACCAGGAGCUCACGACGACUUCAAGUCCAUGAUUCAUGGACUGAAGAACUGUUGCUUGGCGUACGUUCUUACUGCAAGUCCCAUCAUUUACCAAGAGUUGUUGAAACAAUUAUGGUACACUGCUACAAUACUCAAAGAAGAUGGUGAAGUUGUCUCAAUGGAUGCUACUAUUCACGGAAGCAAAAGUCUCAAUAACCGAGUAAGUCAUUCGUGAAGUUCUCCAGAUCGAUGACCAACCGGGUUUUCCAACUGAAAUUCCAAUAGACCAGACCGCAAAAAUCGUGGUUCGCAUGGGUUAUGAGGGUGUGUUUCCACCAACUAUCAAGAAGUUACUGCCACCCUACUGGAGGUUUUUGGUCCACGUAUUUUUAAGCUGUAUUUUGGGAAGAAGAGUCGGGGCUGACGAGGUCUCGUUGCACAACACAUGAGCAAUUGCUGCUUUGGCUGCCGGUUUGGACUUCAAUUUCUCGAGAUUCAUGCUGAAUGAUAUGGUAGGCAACAUUGAAGGUAAAGGCAGAGACAAAUUCCUCAUGUUUUCAAGGUUCGUUCAGAUGAUCUUUAACAAGAAAUACCCGGAACUUGAGAUGAGAGGAGAAACAAUCGAUCUGAAGUCCCUUGGUUCCAACACAAUUGGGCUUAUGAAACAGAACUGAAAGGGAAAAUUCAUGUUUGAGGGAAAGUACCCAUUGGUGAAGUUCGGAAAUUUUGUUGAAGUUAGUGAUGCAUCAGCGACUUAAAGCUCCUCAAAUCAUAUGGAAACCGAAGAUGAUGUUAUUACUACUUCAGAGCAUGAAGAAGAAAGAGUUCCUCCUGUUGCAAUCAUGGCAGAGGAACAUGAUCAGAUGACGAAUGUAGAGGUGUAAAGUGACCACAAUGAGGGUGAAGAUGCAGGUGAUGAUGAUGAUGAGGGAUUUGAUAAUGUUGAUGAGAUUUCUAGUGGUGACUUGUCAGGUUUCAUUAAAGACUUCAAUUUCGAGUUCGAGCAUAGCGAUUAAUGCCCAACAAAUGAAGACCUCGACUCAUUCUUCGACAAUAUCGACGAUGUUGCACAACAUGCAACAUAGAUAGGGGGAGUUGAAUACGUUCAAAAAGCUAUGCAUCCUACUUCAGAACAGAUGGUCGGUGCUACAAUUGAUAUGGAUGAGCAUCAAGGAUUCCUCUCCUUCAUGUUGUUAUUCCAAAUUCUAUGCCAUCUGCGAGUGAUCCUCUAAUGACUCAAACCUCCCAACCUCUGUUGAAAUGAAGAGGACAUGACCUGAGGCCGGGAGCGCUUAUUCAGGAACAGGCCACGCCAACAUAACUUGGAACCACAACAACUACUACUACUCCACUCGUACCGACCCAAGAAGAUCCAAGCACCAUGUUUGAAACCUAAAGCUCUUCAGUUCCUGGAGGUUCCUCCCUCCCAAGGCAUGCGCACAACAUCGCCUCUGGGAGGCUUGCAAGGGUCAUGGCUGAACAAGAAGCAACAGACCUUCCUCCUCGUGGAAAAGGCAUAUCAAUUGAGGAAGGCAACUUAGGUGGAAUGGACCCAUCUGUCCAAGAGUUAAAGGAAGAAAUGUAACGCCCUGAUUCUUAGGUAUUGUUUAAAUAAGAUUUAUUGGGUUAAGCUCUACUCGACGAGUUGGUUGACCUACUCGUCGAGUAGCAGCGGGGUGGGAUUGCGUGUUAAGUGACCUACUCGACGAGUAGGAGUUGGCAGAUGAAACCCUAAAUCCCGCGGUUUGCACCUCUAUUUAAAGGAGCCUCAGCCUCCUUUGGCCUCUUUGCAGUCUUUAAGAGCCCCUUAAAACCCUAAUACGCGCGUGUGUGUGCCCAUUGUGUGUUUGAAGCUUAAAAAAGGAUCUUUGGAGGGAGAAGGCUUGGAGGAGAAGGAGAUUUGAGCAAGUAGAGUUUGGGAAUCGAAUCUUAUCUUAGUUAUCAUCUUCUAGAGGUAACCACAUCGCCUUUUUCCUUGUGAAUAUCUUCUAUUGGUUGAGUUUUAGGGUUUUUGGUGAGAUAAUGAGUUGGAAAGAUGAGCUAUGGGCUAGAUCUGAGGUUGUAACUUUAGAUCUGGACCCUCCUUGGAUUCUAGAAUCAUAAAGUUACAGUUUUGGUCAUGAUUGAGGUCCCUCUUGAGCAUGAAGCUCCAUUAAGAACUUAAAAUAGGCAUUUAGAGCCUUUAUAUCCAUGCAUGCACGUAAAGUUUGCAACUUUACGUGAUAAGCAUGCCCUCGAAGCUCGGAUCUGUGAUUUGGAGCCGCUGCAUGGCUCAAAGCAAGUCUGUCUGGAAAAAGGACUGAAUGGACUCGGCGAGUCACAUGAAGAUGGCCGUGAACUCGACAAGUUGGAUGAACAACUCGGUGAGUCCGAUGAAGAUUACCAUAAGACUUGACGAGUUGAAGAACAACUCGACGAGUCAGAUGAGUUUUCCCUAGGAUAUGUAUGCGUGUAAAUCCGUCGAGUUGCAAGGAGGGAACUCGACGGGUGGCCUUAAAGUUCGAACGAGAAUCGAAGGAACUCGACGAGCCACCCCGAUGACUCGGCGAGUUGGAAUGUACUUCAAUGAACUCGGCGGGUAGCCGAGGGUACUCGACGAGUUGGGGUCAACAUGGACUGUUGACUUUGACGAGGACUUUGACUUUGACCAGGGGGUUGACUGGCGGGUUAUGGAGUACCUUAUAAGGUUAAGGACUUAUGAGUAUAUUGUACUAUGAUCGUAGGUGGUGGAGCCUGUGUCAAGUGAUCCGAAAGUUGGAGUUUAUCUUCCGAGUCGACAUCUGCAAGGUCAGUUAUCCUCACUAUAUCGAUAGGGUCUACAGCACCAAGGAUGACCCUUUAGUUGUUAUUGUUAUGGUAUGCUAUAUGUGGUCAUGAUCUGUUAGAUCAGAAUUAGGGUAGACAAUAAGUUAUGCUCUUAUGAUCCGGAAGGAUUGGUAUGUUAGUGACCUAGUAGGUCGGUACACUAGUUAUGAGAGAAUUCUUUGAUUGACGAUCAACGUGAUAGAUAUGUUUGAUGUUUGUAUAUGCCAGUAUAUGAUAGUUAUGCGCACAUGGUUAUUUGCUUGUUGGUUGGGUUGAGGCGGUCCUGCUUUGUGCUGAAGGCCAACAUACCCUAUGAGCGGUCUGGGAAGACUGCAGGCCCACGAGGCGGACCAGUCAUGCCAAAGGCUCGGGAUAGAUUCGGAUAGACUGUAGGCCCAGUAGGGCGGUCCAGUCAGGCCGAUGGCCAAUAUGCAUGUUGAUUGAUUGAUUGUUACUGAUAUGGCAUUGUCAGUGUGGUAGUGGUAUUUUGGGGGUAGCUCACUAAGCUAUCGGGCUUACAGUUUCAGUUUAUUGUUUCAGGUACUUCAGAAGAUCAUGGCAAGGCGAAGGCGUGACCGUACCGCUCCUCAUCCUUAUGUUAUGAUUUUGGGACACUCUGAUGGAUAUUGAUUUGAAAACAUUUUUGUAAACAAUGCUAUUUGAUUUUUAUUUAUGAUCGAAAAGUUUAAAUUUGGUGUAAAAUUUAUGGAUGUUACAAGAAAUGGGUGUGCUGAAUCAUAGAAUCAUUGAGAGAUAUGUUUUGAUUGAAAACCUCAAAAUCCAAGUCUUGGAUCUUAAAGCAGACAAUUCUCUGAAGACAACACAAAUCUCUGAUUUACAAACUCACCUUGGAGCCUGGACUGCUUGUUACUUCGACCUCAAGAAUAAGCUGGCUAUGGAAUUUGGUGACAAAUUCAAGUCAUCUGUAGGAUAACCAGGCAGAGCUGAGACCUCUACCAUUAACCUUGCCCAAGCUUCACGACAAGAACCCCUGGUUGAUCCUCCCACUAUAAGAACAACUCGAAUAGUCGAUCAAUUUGAACAUGAGCCAGCUCAAGCUCCUCACAUAGUUGCUUUGAAGCGAGCUCAACAAGCAUCCUUUUCUAAGAAACAAAAGUGGAUGUUCAAAAAGAGCUCAGAUCAGAACGCUCGCAGAGGUCAACCCCAACUCACUGUAACAUAACUCAAGAAUAAACGAUUUGGUUCCAAAUACGGUGAUAGGUCAGGGAUAGUGUCAUGGGGUUUUCAUGACAAGUUGAAUCCGUGGCUUGUGAGGCGUAAAAGUUCGAAUGUGGAGUAUUACAAGGACAAACAUGACUUUUGUUCAUGGACGAGAGUUGAUAUGUCUGAACUUGCUAAUGCUCCCUUUGCUAAUCCAUCCAAUAAUCCACAAACAACAGAUUUCAAGCUUUUUCUGGAAGAUCAAGUGAAACAAGGUUUUACUGAUAUGAAGACUGAUGAAUCUUUCAUCAGGAGCUUCCCUGAUGUACUGGAUCCAAAGACCAAUGAGUCUUUCAAGACGGUGAUGUGGCCUCCCACUAACCAAAUGAGAUAGAUUCCUAUUGUGCAGAACUUCAACGAUGGUUCACUAAAAAGUAUGCUUUACUGGGUCUAUGAUGAAACCACAGAUUCUGCUGUCAUCAGAUUUCCUGAAGGUGUAUUUCGGAUAUAUGACAAGAAGGAUCUGCUUCAGUUUGGAAAAUGGGAUAUACACUAUCUGGCUCAACAUAAAAUCCAGGUUGCUGAAGAUAUUUUUGAAGCUGCUGCUAAGGAGUAUACUUCGAUGACUGCUGAGAUUAUCGAGAAUGAGAUGUGGCUUCGUUCAAUGGGGAGGUCUGAUGUGCUCAUAAUCGAGAAAGACUGAAUCAAGGUUAGCCCCAAACCAAGGGGGAGAUUGUUAGGUCAUAACUUAGUGGUUUGGGCUAGGUUUCUUUAUGUAUAAGUCUUGGUAGGCUUUUGGUCUUAUUGUUUGGGUGUUUGCGGCCGUGUAGGUGUUCACGGCCGUGAACCUUGUUUGCGGUUGGUCUGUUCCUAUAUAUAGGAGUUUGUCAGAGUGUUGUCAGUGACGUUGCAGAGAGUUGUUCAUGGUCCUAUGUGUGUGCUCAAGGUGUACCUAACGUUUUUAUGCUAUAAACGUGUGCAUUACUUGAUUAAUCAUUUUCUCUACUUCAUUCUUGGUUGUUUGAUUGAUUACUUGUUUGAUCACUGGUUCAGAUCUGUGGAUUUGAGACUCUACAAGAGAGGUCCCGAAGAGUUCCAAACCCACCGAGCCAUUACGUUGGCACUUGUAAACGGUAUUCCUUAUAUGUCGAUGUUUUUGAAACGAAAUUACCCAAUGCGCUUACCACAACAUAUUGGAAUGCCCAUAAAAGUUUGUCUGCAUCUACAUGACAAACUAUGUAUUGACUGUGUUUUGAAUUAUACAAUCAACUUAGGUCUUGUACUUUUGAAACACCUUGGAUACAUAUUAAAGAUUAAGUGCGAAUGUAUUUGAACUUUUUUAUUAUUUUUUUUGUCAAAAUAUUAUUUUAUAUUUGAACUUUUUUUAUUAUUUGUUGCGUUAAAGUAUUAUUUUAUUAUUGUUGAGUCGUAUUUUAACUUCCUUUUUUUUAAAAAAAAAAUUGAUUAAAAAUAUCUACAUAUCUUUUAUAAAAAUAGUAUUAUAAAUCAUCUAUAUAAAGAUUAAGUGUCAUGAUAAUCUAAUUAUUAAAAAAACAAUUAUUAUGGGUAAAAAGCAAAGAAUAUAUUUUGUAAGCUUAAUAAAAAUGGAAGGACUAGAAGUGAGAUAAAAAUAAUAUCUUAAUAAAAUAUAGGAGUAAUAAUGUUAUGUAGAUAUUUUCUUUAUUCUCUUUCACGUUUUUUAUUAACUAAUUAUAUAUUAAAAAACUAUUAAUAAUAAAUAUGUAAUCAUAAUUUAAUUAUUAAAAUAAUUAAAAAUAGUAAUCAUUAGUGAAGAAAAGUAAAAUGAUUAGUAAACACAAUGAUUGGAAAAAUAAUUAGAGGGUAGAAAUAAAUAAAGAUGAGAUAGGAAUAAAUGAAGCCUAAUGAUAUUGAGUUUAGAAGAUUAAUGUGAUAAAAAAGUAAGCAAUAAAGCAAAUAUCUAGAAUGAUGAAGUAUAGAUGGGAGUUGAAGAAUUACAUAAUAUUAACAAGUUUGUUCGACCAUUGCAUGUUUGACUUUCUAUGGACCAACUUGAAAUUUCAUGAUUAUUUAUCAUAUAAGUGUUGCAUUGCUAAAUUAAUUACUUGCCAAGAUUUAUGCCUAGUAGUGUUUAAUACACAUCAAAUUUUAGGUUCAACUUCAUACGAAAAAUAUAAUGAGGUUACUUACAAAGUUUAGUUUUUGACAUGAUGAAUAAAAGUCAAUAGGCACUAAUUCUUAAUAUGUCUAGGUAGCUAGUAUCUAUAGAAUGCUAUGGGACCAUGUAGAUGUAGAAUAACUCUUUUGAAACUUUGAACUUCAUGUAUAAGUCCCAACACUACUUUUACAAGUUUUGGAAGAAUAAUAAUGGUGUUAGGAAUAGAACCUUGUAACGAAAUAUUGUAAAUAGUCUUUUGUGAUUGUACCCUAGUAUUUUUUUUUGGAUUAAAGACAAGAUAAGGUCAAAUACUAAAGAAAAUUCAUUCUAUCCUAGAGUAUAUAAAUUAAGGGGACGCUAGAAUUUAAUCCUAAUGUCACACCACCUUUUUUCCUACUUUUUAAUCGGUAUUAAGGUCGAAGUUUAAGCACUAAACUUAGCACCUAUUUCACUUAAAAAAAAUACUUUGAUACCAUCUCAAACACCCUUGUUUGGUUUAAGAAUAAUUAAGUUAUCUUUUGAAAAAACAUUUAACCAUUUAAAAGAGUUAAGUUUUAUGGUUUAAGUUUGAAACUUUAAUAUAUGAGGGUGUAUAGCCUGUGUCAUUGUUUUGGUGGGAGCUGAGACUCCUACCUACCUCUUACGAAGUUCUCCUACAACAACAGUUUUCACUCCUACAUUGGUGCUCUGCCUUUUCAGCUCUUGUAUGAGCGGAGAUGUCGUACCUUGGUCUGUUGGGGGUGAGGUUGGUCAUAAGGUUGUGGGGGUGGACCGAGGUGGUCCUUCAGACUACGGAGAUGAUUCAACAGACCAGAAAGAGAUUGUAGACUGCUCAGAGUCGGCAGAAGACCUAUACCGACCGACGCCGAUCUGAGUUGGAGUUUCAGGUCGACGACAUGGUGCUACUUACGGUAUCACCUUGGAAAGGUGUGAUUCGCUUCAGGAAGAGGGGGAAAUUGGGUUCGUGAUAUAUUGGGCCAUUCUGAAUUAUUGCCAGGGUUGGCAAGGUGGCGUACAGAUUGGAUCUUCCUGAUUAGCUCAUUCAGAUUCACAACACUUUCCAUGUUUCUUAGCUGCGGAAGUACAUAUUGGAUGAAAAUGCAGUGGUGUCCUUGGAUGAUAUUCAGGUUAAUGAGCACCUGAAUUAUGACGAGAGGCUUGUAGCUAUUCUGGAGAGGAAGGUAAAGGUUUUGCGUAGCAAGGAAGUAACGUUGGUAAAGGUACGAUGGCAGCAUCGGAGGAGCUCCGAGUAGACUUGGGAGCUGGAGGCUAAGAUGCAAGAGCAUUACCCAGACUUGUUCUCUGUAGAAGACUUCGAGGACAAAGUCUAGUUCCAGUGGGGGAGAUUUGUAAUACCAUGGUUUUCAAGUAUUUUCAAAUUCAUCCCUUGGUUUAUAUUAUAAGUCAUUUUGAUCCCUAAAGUCCAAGAAUUAUGACUUGAAGCCCUAGUGGCAUUUUGGUAAAAUGAGCAGGAAGAGUAGGCUAAACAUACAAGUGUCUACGCUGAGCAUACCAGAGCGCACCCUAGUAAGCUGGGCGUACUCACGUCAGAGGGAAACCCUAAAUUUUGGGGUUUGGAAAGUAUUUAAGCAUCAUAUUGGCUCAUUUCCUUUCCACCUUUCAGCCUCCACUCCCAUGGGACGUUUUUGCAAACCCUAAUCUUUGAGUGUGCCUUUUUGAAAGAAAACAACCCAGAAAAUUCAAUAUUUUCUGAAAAGACCAUUGUUUAUAUAAAAGUGUGAAGAUCCGUAAAUAUAUGCAUGAUGAUUUCCAGACGUGUAUAGUUGAAAAGCUUCGUAUUAAAAGUACCGAUGAAAAAUGUUGAAUUUCCCCGGAAAACUCAAUGUUUUCCGACAAUAAUAAAAAACUAUCAUAUAACUGUUCAAAUUGUUAUUCCAUCACUUGAAUGAUUUUUGAUUUGCCUUGAUUACUUGAUUAUUAUUGGAUUUAUUUAUGUGAGUCGUUAUAACCAUGCAUGAUAAUAACUAAUUCUUCUGUCAUGGCACUCCGGUGAACGCCGGAAUUGAUCUUAAGAUUUUGUCAUCCUAGACUGGCCGAGUCUAACUGUAGCGAACAACUGAGGUGUGGGGGAUUCACCUAGAUCUAUACACAAACUCUCGCUCUCCCUCCAAGAGACUUUGAUUAUAACUACAGACUACGACCGACACACGUUGGUGCCACCCGUUAUUACUCACUAAAUCCCAAUUGACUUUGAUUACUAUUGAUUAUCGACCCGUAUUUGUUUACUUGGAUUGACGAUAGGCCUAAUAAACAAGGAGAAGAGGAUUACAAUAUCCUAGUAUUCCCGCGUAUUAUUUAUGGCUAUUGGUUAUACGAAGAGCACGAUGGCCGGUUUCGCAUUUAAUUCAUUUGGACCUUACUAGCAUUGCUAAUGGGCCACUACGACCCAAUAAAUUUUUUAAAGCCAUUGAGGGUCUCUUAAAUAUGAAAUUGGGUCAUAGAAGGCCCAAUAACAUUUAUGAUUAUCCCUUGGGCCCAAAAAUCAUGUUAAUGGGUCGCAAAGGCCCAACAAGCAUGAUUGGAACUUUCAAGCCCAAAGAUUUGAAUAUUUACUUGUUUUAGGUAUAAUUUGAUUGUUGGAAAUUUUGAUUGGAUGAUUUGUUAAAUUUCGCACCGGAAUAAGGCCGAUCGGUUAUUUUUUUUAACGAUGUUGGAAUUAUACGUAUUUUCAUCUUUCCAUUUGCAUGAAUUGUAGUUUGGUAUUUUUAUUUUAACUCAAAUAUCUUAAAAUAAAAUAAUUGACUCAAAAAUAUUGGUUUGAACCCCCUUUCAGCCCUUCUUUGGUAAAAUUGACAAUUUUAGUCCUUUUAUAUAUAAAAAGACAUUUUAAGCCCUUAAAACAUUUUCUUGACACUGUUGAUCCAAAGACUUGUUCAGGUGAUAUUUUUAGCUCAAAACUCAUUCUUUGGCAGUUUUAGCCCUUCCAGAAAAGUAUUUUCCGGUUAAAGCCCAAACCUUUUGCAACUUUUACAAUUUUGACCCAAAAUCCAAAAAGUUUACAAUUUUGAUCCUUGUUUGGAAAUUACAUCAUUUAACCCCUGAAUUUAUUUUAUUCACCCUUUUACCCCCUGUUUUGAGAAUUUUACCAUUUCAACCCCUUGAAAGUUGUAAUUUUCGCAAGUUUUGGCUUAAUGGGCCGAAAAGCCCAAGAUUUAGCCCAAUAAGCCUUAAAUUUUAUUUCUAACCUUCAAUAGAGUAUGAUAUUCAUAAAAACACUUAUUUUUACUGUUUUGACCCUUUUUGUCCUUAAGAAAACCGUAACUAACAAUUUUUCCACUCAACUUUGGUUUGUUUGACAAUUAUAGCCCAAAAAUGAGUUUUAUGUUGCCAUAUGUUUGUUUUAAUCUUAGAGGGUAAUUUUUCUUAACUUGUUUAGAGUAAUAUGUCUUAGAUCAUGUUUAUCUUCCUAUUAGAUCCAUAGAUCUCUAGAUUUCCAUUCUUUUUGUUACAUAUUUAUCACAUAAACACAUGAAAUCACACAUAACAUACACAUAGAUCUACACAUUUUACUUGUAUUCUCCCCCAUAAAGCAUAUGAAAACCGAAAAUAGAGGGGUGUGAACUCACCUUGAGUUUGUGGGUUUGUGUUUGAAGAAGAAAUGAAAGAAGAUUCUGGUCCUAUCAACUCCCUUGAUUAAAUCUUGAAUUUAAGAAGAUUCUAGGAGUAGAUCAUGAAAAACUUACUUAGAAUGAGUGAUACAACAUGGAAAUGAAGUUAUACAACUUAAUUAUGAUAAGACUUACCAAGAAUUGAUGAUUUUUGAUGAUGAAACUCUUCUUGAAGAUGUGCAAAUUCUCGAAAUUUAGAGAGGAAAUGUAGAGUGUUCUUGUGAGUGUUUGAGAGAAUUUGGAAGAGUGUGUGUGUUUGUGAGGUCUUGGCCGCGAGGAAGAAAAGAGAAAGGGAAAGAGAGAGGUGAGGUAACUUGCUUGGUUGCAUGGUGGUUUAAAGCCUUGAUGCAUGUUAGAUCUUAUGGAGGUGGCACUCCAAAGUCAACUCUUCUCCUUAUUUCACUUAUUUUCUCUUUUUUUUGUUUUCUUCUUGGGUCGAGAAAAGGGAAGAAAGAAAAAGAAUUUUGGGCCUUUGGUGCUUAAUUCCAUCUUAUGGGCCCAUUUUUGAUGAUUUUUGUCCCAUUGGGCUCCUAUGAUGGAUUACGGCCCAAUUUGUCAAAAAUAAUGGGUUUUAAAGCUAAUUAGGUUAGUUAUGACCCAAUAAGGUCCAUUAGGAUAUUUUAUUUCAUUCUAGGCCCAUUAUUGGCCAAAAUGUUAAAAUAAAUGAAAGUGGGUCCAAUUAGGGCCCAUUUAAGAGUCCUAAGCCCAAAAUAGUCAAAUUGGGAGCUUAUUGGCCCAUUAGGCCCAAUAAGGAAAUCCUAGUCCAAAAUGGACUUAAACCAGGAUUUCUAGGGUUUCCAAUUCUUUGUUGACUAUUUUCAAUGCGUGUAUAGAGUGUUUGAUGAAAAACUUGUUGUUAUUGAAUAACCAUCAUACAUGCUUUCACAUUUUUGGUUCACAAUUGUUAUAGAAUUCCUAGUUGUGAUAAUCGUGUUUCCAAGUUUCAUUAAUGGAGGGAAAGUGAGGGGACAAAAAGGAUUUUGGAGCCAUAUUUUCCUUCCAAAUUCCCCCCCCCCCCAAUUGGGCGGAUUUGGGAAGAAAGUUAGGGGAAGGAAAAUUUUAAGUUUUAUUUUCUUUUUUCUCCUAAACCGGGAACACAAAAACAUAAAAAAAUUCCUUUCAUUUCUUUUCAUUGCCUUCGAACUCUGGAACACAAAAUAAUGGAUAUUUUCCUUCCCUUCCCUCUCUUUCUGUCAAAAUUUUCCUUCCCUUUCCUUUUUUGAAUUACAAAAAAAAAACUCGGGAACAAGGCGUAAGUGAGGUAUGUUAGUCAAGGAUUGUAAUCCAAUUAUUAAUUGAAUGUUUAUUAUGUUGUGUUAGUGUGGGGAUUUUAGUGAGCUAGCAGCCAAAGACUUUUAGUGUGAUUUAGCAAUGUGUGGCCCUUGGAUUGAUAUCUUGUUAUGCAUGUUUAUAUAUACAGUUGUGAUCUGUUAGAUCGGUAUCCUGUUAGAUAGGAUAAUGGUAUGCGUAGUGAUAUGUAAGAUCUGUUUAUUGUUUGCUGGCUGGUUAAUAGUAUGCUUACCUGUAUUAUGUGUACAUGUUUGGUGAGUGGCUGAGGCUUCACUGCUUUAUACGUAAGCCAAUGGUCGGGGCAUUCCAACCCGAUGGUUGAGGGCAUAGGGUAUUCCAUCCCAAGGAUGAUUGGACUCAUAGUAUGUUGACAUUCCAACCCGAUGGUUGAUGGGCCUGGGAUAUUCCAACCCGGUGGUUGAUUGGACCCAUAAUAUGUUGGCAUUCCAACCCGAUGGUUGAGGGGCCUGGGGUAUUCCAACCUGAUGGUUGAUUGGACCCAUAGUACGUUGUUAUUGUAUAUGUGUUAUUUGUUGUGUUGGUACUUUGGGGGAACUCACUAAGCUUUGGGCUUACAGUUUUGGGUUAUGUUUCAGGUACCUCAGACGAUCGUGAGAAGACAAAGGCUUGAUCGUGCACUUCCUCAUGUUGUGUUUUGUGAUUUUGGGAAAAAAUCUGAUGCUUAAACUGUUUUGAAAAUACAAUGUAAACAAUUAUGAUUUUUUUGGUUGUUUGAAAAAGUUUAAAUUUUUAUGAAUUUAUGAGGAUGUUACACUCAAACCUGCCUCGAAGAUCGGAAUGGGGACUCCGACAUUACCUUCUGGUGGAUGGGAGAUGAUCGCCCCCUUCUUGGGAUAUUGCCCCCCUCUCCCCCCUGUUCAGGAAAGAAGCCGAAUCUGGCUUGCAAGGCCUUGAACUCAUUUGGAGUCGGCUCGAUUCCAGUUAGUUGUGUGACCAUUGUUCUCUGAGAGCAAGAGAAAAAAGGAAGAAAGGGUAAAUGAAGAAAAGAUUGAAGCAUUUGCAGAGCGAGAAGUGUAAAGAGAAAAACCGUCCCUGAUAAGGGAAGUUUUAAAUGCAAAGUGAGAGAAUCGAACAAUUACCAUGAUGAAACCGUCCCUGAUAACCCUAAACAUGAAUUUGGGGAUGAAGGAAAAAAGAAACCAUAUUAUGGGGAUAAUUUCUAACCUUAUAGUUUGGUUGAAACUUCUUUUUUGUUUAUGUUUUUAGUUUUCUCUCUAACAAGAAAUUUGAAGGCUUUUGCUCGAACAAGAAAUUCGAAAAAUUAAAAGUAGAAUUUUUAUGUACAGAGCAGUGGUCUUGAUUGGAUAAUUACCACAAAUUUUUGAUUUUGGGUGUAUCUGACAACAAUUCUGCCGGAAUGGAAGAUCAAGUUCUAAUUUUGUCAGAAUGGAAUCCGAUUUUAUGGCAUCGAAUAUCAACUUACUCAGUUAGUAUUUGAAGGUAUACACUCAUUUACUACAAAUUUAGUCACAUUCAUGUAUUUAUUAAUUACAUAUAUUGUAUGUUUCAUCAAAUGGAGUAUAAAGAUCUGAGCAUUCGAUUUUGUCCGCCAAUUGUUUGCUAAAAUGCUUAAAUCAAAUAUUUCAGCAAAUUUUUUUUGUAAUCUUUGAACUAUCAUAUCUCUUUCAUACUAGCUUGGAAUGAUUUGAUUUUUUUUUUUGCAUUUUCUCAUUUGUGAUAGCUACAAGUUAGGUUCUGAAGUCAUUUUAAUUGGAUUAAUAUUGGCUGAGUAACAAUCCUUCGAACAUUGGAUGUUACAACUAUAUUUUUAGCACUUUUACUUUGUUCAAAAAAAAAUUUGUGAUCUUUGAACUGUCAUAUUUCCAACAUUCUUGCUUGUAAUAAUAUGACAUUUUUUCCAACGUAUUGUCCUCUGUGUUAGCUACAAUGUAGGCUCUAGAAUCAUUGUAAUUAUAUUAAGUUGAUUAUUUGGGUCAAGUGACUCGGGGAAUACUUGAUCAUGUCACUCGAGUAUUACAUUCUUUUAGAAUUAAUUAAAAGUCUUUAAUGCCGCCGCACAGGGCCCCGAGAAAAAAAUAGAACCCGAGAUUUAGACAUAUUAUAUACUUACUAUUUGUAUAAAUAAUAAAUCUUUCAAAUAAGAACAUAAGUUUCAUGUUGCUCAACAGGUAAGGGCGGUUCUGAUUAUUUAACUUAAAGCGAAAACUCUCC